GUAAUGUCUUUGUGACAAGAACUUUCUUUGUCUUUUAUUCCCAUGUUUGAACUAGUAUAGGUCGGGGUUACACAUUAUGGUGCACAUCACUUUAUUUAUCAUCGUUACAUUGAACGCUCAUUGACUAAACAACGAUGAUCCAUCCAUCUUGUAUUGUAGGUCUUCAUUUCAUUGGCCACCGAUGCUUGUAAGACUAGUCUCAUAUGGUUGUUGUUGUGGAUAUGGUUGUUGAGGUUGGUGUGGUUGCUGGGGUUGCUGGGAAAUUGUUUGUUCUGGUUGCUGGGAUAAUUGUUGUUGGGGCUGUAGAAAUGGUUGUUGUGGUUGUUGGGGUAAUGGUUGUUGUGGUUGCAGGAUGGAUGGUUGUUGGGGUUGCUGGGGUUGGGGCUGGGGAAAUGAUUGUUGUGAUUGUUGGGGUUGCUGGGGAAAUGGUUGUUGCGGUCCUAGGAGGAAUGAUUAUUGUGGUUGUUGGGGGAAUGGUUGUUGNNNNNNNNNNNNNNNNNNNNNNNNNNNNNNNNNNNNNNNNNNNNNNNNNNNNNNNNNNNNNNNNNNNNNNNNNNNNNNNNNNNNNNNNNNNNNNNNNNNNNNNNNNNNNNNNNNNNNNNNNNNNNNNNNNNNNNNNNNNNNNNNNNNNNNNNNNNNNNNNNNNNNNNNNNNNNNNNNNNNNNNNNNNNNNNNNNNNNNNNNNNNNNNNNNNNNNNNNNNNNNNNNNNNNNNNNNNNNNNNNNNNNNNNNNNNNNNNNNNNNNNNNNNNNNNNNNNNNNNNNNNNNNNNNNNNNNNNNNNNNNNNNNNNNNNNNNNNNNNNNNNNNNNNNNNNNNNNNNNNNNNNNNNNNNNNNNNNNNNNNNNNNNNNNNNNNNNNNNNNNNNNNNNNNNNNNNNNNNNNNNNNNNNNNNNNNNNNNNNNNNNNNNNNNNNNNNNNNNNNNNNNNNNNNNNNUGCAGGGGGAAUGGUUGUUGGGGAAUUAUUUGUUCUGGUUGCUGGGGGAAUGGUAGUUGGGGCCGGGGAAAUGGUUGUUGGGGUUGCUGGGGGAAUGGCUGUUGUGGUUGCAGAGGGAAUGAUUGUUGGGUCUGGGGAAAUGGUUGUUGUGAUUGCUGGGAAAAUUGUUGUUGGGGUGUGGGAAAUGGUUGUUGCGAUGGAUAUGGUUGCUGUGAUGGAUAUGGUUGUUGUGGAUAUGGCUGUUGUAGAAAUGGUUGUUGUUGAUAGGAAAAUGAUUGUUGAGGUGAUUGUAAUUCUUUGUUGCUAGGGUUUAGCUGCCUAGCGGCAGUGGCGAUGUUCAUCGCCAUGGCAAGGAGGACAAAGAUGAGGAAGGUCUUCAUGUUGGAUUUGUGGUUACUACUGCUUGCUUGCUUUUGAUGCUUGUGGUCUAGGUGUGUGAAGUUUGGAUGAUGAAAUGUGGUCUUGGUGGUGCAUGUGUAUUUAUAGUUUUCAUGGCAUGGCUUGCUUUCUUCUUCCCACUCGCUUUUUGAAAAAGUGCACCAAUGCUUAUCCAACUAAUCAUUUGAUUUGUUGUGUUUGGUGCAACUACUUACUAGCAAGAUUUUGGAUUUUCAUGAUAGUUGCUUUUUGUUGAAAUCAUCUGGUUGUAAGGAAUGUUGGAUAAUGACCAAUGACUCAUCUUCUUCACUUUACACUGCAAACAUUGAUCUAAAUUAUAUCCUUUUUUGAAAUUUAGUUUGUGAAGCUCUACAUGUUGUUAGGCUUAUCUAUAUUGGCAUAGCUUGAGUGGAAUUAAGUUUGUAAGCUUGUGAGCGUCAUUAUGAUGGAUCACACUAUUAAUGUGAUGAUUGUACUACAAAUUAUCUUUCCAAAACUAAUUUUAUGUUUUUUCCCAAUAUGAUUCUAAGACGGAUAACCAGACAUGACUCAUCAAAUAACAAGAUAAACCGAGUAGCAAAUUGGGGUUAUAAGUUAUAACAUGGACUUUUCUCUAAGAUACACUAUCUUGUCUUGCAUGCUCUGUGAAUUUGAAAAGCAUCUACUAAUUUAUAUGCAAUUGAAACAAAAGUAGACCAGAAAGAUAAGCAAUGAAAUGAGAAUACUAUUAUGUGAAGCUCUACAUGUUUGGCAAGCAAUAAGAUACUGGAUACAUCUAUAUCUUCAAUCCUGACAAUUUUUCUCAUCCCUAUCAACUCUUUAUUGGCUGCCUUUACUGUAGUCAUCCCUUAAAUAAAAAUCACUUAAAGAUAAGUUUGGGAGCUAGUACCAGCAUCUAUCAUGUACAAGAUAAAAAACUAAGGCACAUAUAGUAGUCUAUUGACUAUAUUUAAUUUCAUGUGAUGUGAAAGCAUGUGGAGUAUAAGUUGGUUAAAUAUAAAAUUGUCCUUCAUACCAGUAGGGAAAGAAUAUGCAGUAUAAAGAUUAGAGCAUUAUUAAUAUGCUAUUAAAUGCUACAGGAUAAUCGAUAGUUCAAGUUAAGAACAACAAUAGCAUUCCAACUUUUGUUUUGUGCAAGUUAAGAACAUGCUAACAAAGUAACCUAAGCAAAUAAGUGCAACACCUUCACCUAUAAGGAAAUUUUGAAACUACACAAAAUGACCUAUUGUAAAGAAGGAAAAAAAUCUAAAGGUGAAUGAAAAGCAUGUUAAGUACAUUCAGGAUUCGGUUAUGCCUUCAUGGAUAACCUUUUAGAUGGUGACUUGUCAACCUUGAUGUGUGUCGGCAUGGAACGAGGACAAGAAGACAUCGUUACGUCGUACUUUGGGAAUUUCAUCAAACUGGUUGUGUGCGGGAACAAAUAUUUGUCGCCUCCCUGCUCAAAUCUCUCUUCAUGUCACUAAAUCCGACACUCCACCUACCAAAAUCAGCUGCAAGCCAGGGACAAUCAACAGGUUUCUCCGCCCGUAGCAUCUAUCACCAAAAGAAGUUCAGACUAUAGUCUUGUAGUUUAAAAUUUUGUAAUAACAAGCACUACUAGGUUGCUCUUGUUUGUACGUCUUCAUUAUGUACAACCCAUGGAACUUAAAAUGCAUGGGUCAUUCUUCGGUAUAUACAACCAAUGCAACCAAACAUGCAUUGGGCUUUUCUUUGUACAUCUUCAGGUUCUACAACCAAUGCAACAAAAAAUCCAUUGGGCAGUCUUCCAUUCUAGUCGGGCACCAAUAGUUAAACGAGGAGCUAAACAGUGUUGGAGUCUAAAACUACAUACAAUCAUGAAGCAGAGAGAUGCGACUUGGAAGUUGUGCUCCUGUGAGCUCGUAUUUUUGAAGAAAAAAGUAAUAUUUGUAUUUUGAAGUGGGAAAAAGUCCUAAAAAGGGAUGUUUUGCGGGUUAUAACUUACUAUUUUUGAGUCCUGGGCUGCAGGAAGGUCGUAAAAAAUCAAUGUGUUUUCCCAUUCAUGCAUGUUUCUUGGGUUAUAGGUCACGCUUUUGGUGUCCUAGGGAGAUCACUUCCCCAGUUGGGAACAUUAGGUGAUGAUUUUUAGCAAAACUCAUUGUUUUAGCCUAACUAGUUUCGAGGAUUGGUGGACAAGAUUAUCAUGGAACAAAGUGACAACCUUCCUUUUCUUCAUGCCUAAUAUAAACUUAGCAGUCAACUAAAAGUAACUAGCGAUAUCACAGAAUGUUUUUUUGUCAAAAGUAGAUACCACUUCAGGAUUCAACUCGGUUAGUUCAAUCAUAGACAUGUUAAGAGCAGGAUUUACAACUAACUGCAUAGGGAACAUCUCCUUUUAUCGCCCACUAUCUGUCUAUGCACUUUGGUUUUCCCGUAGCAGCACACAAAGCACUUUGUUAGUACCAAUAAUGUGCUCCAACUCUACACAUUAAUCAUCUUGAAUUCUUCUACUGAUGUCGAACAAUGUUAUAUCUUGAAUUCUUCUAACGAGUUCAGAUUAUACUACAUGGGCAAUUUAUCUGGUCCCUGAGAUGCAAGGUCGAUGAACAAUCGCUUCGUCUGAUGAUGAGGGAUUGUUUUUGCCUAAGAAACCAAUACAUGUAACUUCGACGCCAGAUUAAUAAUUGGUAAAACCCAAAUAAAUUAGAUCACGAGCUAAACCAUUUAAUUUUGUAUGCAUUUAAACUUUUGAUACAUAUGAGCUUGUUAAGAUGUUCGCAUAAACACCAUGGUGAUUUGAAGCAAGACAAAGUAAACUUGAACCGCUUGAGCCACUGACUUAAUAAGAACCUCCUUUCCCGUGGCAGAGAUCGUUUUUAAUACAUCCACUCACUUUGGUUCUCUUAUGAAAUCUAGAUUCCUUCGCUAAGGCUAUUGCUCCAGUAUUGUCACAAAAGAUUUUUGUUGGACCCGAUGCACUAGGUAUGACACCUAGAUCGGAUAUGAACUCCUUCAUCCCGACUCCUUCAUUUGCUACUUCCGAAGCAGCUAUGUACUCCUCUUCACAUGUAGAUCCCUCCACGACGCUUUGCUUGAAACUGCACCAACUGACAGCUCCACCAUUCAAUAUAAAUACGUAUCCGGUUUGUGACUUAGAGUCAUCCAGAUCAGUGUCAAAGCUUGCAUCAACGUAACCAUUUACAACGAGCUCUUUGUCACCUCCAUAAAUGAGAAACAUAUCCUUAGUCCUUUUCAGGUAUUUCAAGAUGUUCUUGACCGCUAUCCUAUGAUCCACUCCUGGAUUACUUUGGUACCUCCCUGCUAAACUGAUAGCAAGGCACACAUCUGGUCUGGUACAUAGCAUUGCAUACAUGAUAGAACCUAUUGCUGAAGCAUAGGGAAUGACUUUCAUUUUCUCUCUAUCUUCUGCAUUGGUCGGGCAUUGAGUCUAACUCAACUUCACACCUUGUAACACAGGCAAGAACCCUUUCUUUCCUUGAUCCAUUUUGAACUUCUUCAAAACUUUAUCAAGGUAUGUGCUUUGUGAAUGUCUAAUUAACCGUCUUGACCUAUCUUUAUAGAUCUUGAUGCCCAAUAUAUAAGCAGCUUCACCGAGGUCUUUCAUUGAAAAAUUCUUAUUCAAGUAUCCUUUUAUGCUAUCCAGAAAUUUCGUAUCAUUUUCGAUCAACAAUAUGUCAUCCACAUAUAAUAUCAGAAAUGCUACAAAGCUCCCACUCACUUUAUAAAGGCUUCUCCAAAAGUCUGUAUAAAACCAUAUGAUUUGAUCACACUAUCAAAAUGUAUAUUCCAACUCUGAGAGGCUUGCACCAAUCCAUAAAUGGAUCACUGGGCUUGCACACUUUGUUAACACCUUUUGGAUCGACAAAACCUUUUGGUUGCAUCAUAUACAACUCUUCUUUAAGAUAUCCAUUAAGAAAUGCAGUUUUGACAUCCAUUUGCCAAAUUUCAUAAUCAUAAAAUGCGGCAAUUGCUAACAUGAUUUGGACAGACUUAAGCAUCGCUACGGGUGAGAAGGUCUCAUCAUAAUCAACUCCUUGAACUUGUCGAAAACCUUUCGCAAAAAGUCGAGAUUUGUAGACAGUAACAUUACCAUCAUCGUCAGUCUUCUUCUUGAAGAUCCAUUUAUUCUCUAUGGCUUGCCGAUCAUCGGGAAAGUCAACCAAAGUCCACACUUUGUUCUCAUACAUGGAUCCCAUCUCAGAUUUCAUGGCCUCAAGCCAUUUCGAGGAAUCUGGGCUCAUCAUUGCUUCCUCAUAGUUUGUAGGUUCAUCAUGGUUGAGUAACAUGACCUCCAGAACAGGAUUACCAUACCACUCUUGUUGGGAAUAUGACUACCAGGUAUGACCCGCCCAGGAGGGGCCGGGUCAAUCCUAAUGGCGGGUUACUAAAAGAAGCUCAGUGAAUAUACAAGGCGAUAGUUUAUUAUAAGACUUGUAGUAGGACCAAGCCCAAAGGCGGGUUAAGGCCCAUAAUUGUAAACCGCCAUGUAUAAGAAAGAAUUGUAAAGAAAGGCAUGUAAGAGAAGUCACCGAGCCGGGCACGUUAUAUGAGCCGGCUGGGACUCUGUAGGCCGCCAGGCGUCAACCCGUGUAUAUAAGGGGACGACCCGGUGGCGGCUUAGGGCAAGUAACAUCAAAUCGAGAGCCAUGCAUAGCGUAUUUGCUCCCUGGUCAUCGAAACCUAGCAAUACCACAUCAACUGGACUAGGCUUUACCUUCACCGUAGGGGGCCGAACCAGUAUAAACCUUUCGUGUCCUUUGUCCCGAUUAACCCCUUUAAGCUUCCUAGUUGCGAUGGCUCCACGACUAAGUCCUUUCAGUAGGACAUCUGCCGUGACAAUUCCACGACAGUUGGCGCCCACCGUGGGGCCAUCGCACGAUGGAUUUGAGUUCUUGAAGGGCAGCUUCCAAGGGCUCAAGGGAUACGCUGUGGGCCGGAUAACCAAAAGUUGUCACAGCAAGCUCUACAUCGACGACGCAGGCUGGGGCCCCGAGGCUGGCUCAAUCGAGUACGGGUACCGGGUCCCCUUCGGCGGAAUCCACGUCUUCAUCGGCCGGAUCGGCGAGCCGGGCCCUGAGUCGGACAUCUGCACCGACCUCAUCGAGAUGGCUCAGCGAGUGAGACCUGCCCGGGCUCAACCUGCCGUGAGGCGUGCCUUCGUGGGUUGCAUCCAUGGAGGGGAAUUUUCUGAAGGAUCGAUGGACGGUGGUGAGACAGUCGUUUGCUCUAGCAGUGAGUCGUCCAUAGGCGAGACAGAUUCUUUGUAUCAGCUACAAGAUGGCGGGCUUGGGGGCUGUUCCGAUGGCAGUAGUAUUCCGGACCCCUCUGAGCCGCCGAAUCGAGCCGGAGUCUUCAUGGCUGGCACUCAACCUGGUUAGAAUUCUAUGGCUGCGGCAGCAAUAACCACUGGGUCAGCAGGGGCCGGGUCAGGAGACCCCGCGCGCCCACCGGCUCAGGUACUAAUGGACCUCAUGGAUAGGAUGACGGCCCUGUUGACUGCUGUGGUUGAGCCGGCAGAUAAGGCUCAGCAUGACGCAGAGGUAGCACAGCUACACAGAGAGGUAGCACAGGCCAAGGAAAAUUUAGUGGCGGAAGAUGUCAGGAUGGCCGCGGAACGGGCGGCUCUGGAUGCACGGGCUCGGCAGCUUCAAGCGAAGACUUUCUGGCUCUCGGUGGAUCUGAACGCAUCAAACGAGGUCACGAGGAGAAGGCACCAGAAGGCUCAAUCAUGUCUGCCUCUGACUUACGAUCCUAGGAACCUUUUUCACACACCCGGGACUGGUCCCAGUAACCCGCUGAAGGCAAACCGGAUCACAACACCCGGGACCGGGACGCCGGUUCAACCGCGGGCCAUGGAACCACCGCGUGUGAAUACUGCUCUGCCUCACUACACAGCGAUACCACCGGGUCACUUCUCUAACCCCUUGGAGAACCUUAUUGCUGCGUCGGCUCAUCUGGCGGCUCUCCCGAUGGAAGGUGACUCUUCGACGGCGAUCGAGACACGACGGGUCAGAGAACUUCUUCAGACGGCUCUGGCACAGCAGGAUGCAUAUUCUUAUAGUUGAGAUAGAAUCCAUUCAACCCCUCGCCCAAGCCGGAGCCCAAGCUAUAGCAGGCAUAUGGACUCGGCGGCCAUGUCAAGCAACACCCAGCGCCGUAACCAUCCACGUGGGCGUGACCCGGCCCCGGGCGGAGCUUGUAACUUGGUAGACCAGGAGAGGAUCCGUCAAGAGGCUGAACGGGUGGUUCAACAGGCGGCUGAGCAAGCGGCUCACCAAGCUUUUCCAAUUUAUACAGUGACCUCUGUUGAAGCAGGGGUGGCCACAAGGACAGGAGGAGUCCCUUGUCUUGUGCAGUCUCUGCGUAAUGAGCGUUUACCAAAGGACUUUAAGGGGCCUCGUAAGGUGCCCAAUUACACAGCCGACCUGCAGCCCGGAGCAUGGAUUGAAAGUUACGAGAUGGCCAUGGAGUUAUUAUAAGUCAGUGACGCAGCAAUGGCCAAAUACUUCACCAUGAUGUUGGAUGGAACAGCUCGUACUUGGUUAAAGGGGUUACCGCCCAACUCCAUCGGCUCAUGGGCGGAGUUGAAGGCACGGUUCAUUCAGAACUUUAAAGAUACCUGUAAACAGCCCAUGUCAAUCGUGGACUUGACUAACUGCAAGCAAGAGGAAGGCAAAUCCAUGACCCAUUGGGUGCGCCGGGUCAAGGAAAUAAUACAUUCAUCUGAUAAGAUGGAUGCCAGCUCCACGGUCUUAAUGUUGGAGAAAAAUUACCGUUUUGAACCUCUGAAACAGAAGCUGGGGCGGCUCAAGCAUGAUUGUAAUGACAUGGGCCAGUUGAUGGCGGCUCUGGUCAAAUAUGCUGACUCUGACAGUACCAAGGAUCCCAUGUCUGACGAAGAGAAGACGAGGAAGGGAAAGAAGAACGGCAACGGCAAGGGUCACCAGCAUAACCCGACAAAUCAAGGAGGUAAUAAACGCAAGGCUGACGAGUUUGUGGCUAACACCAAUGCACAUGGCAACAACCAAUGGCGCAAGGGGAGGCCACCUCCUCGGUCAGGCGGAUCAGGUCCCACCCUCGAGCAACUACUAAAUGAACCCUGUCCGGGACAUGGCACCCGGGAGAAGCCGGCUACCCAUCUGUGGAAGGAUUGUACGAUCAUGAAGGCUUUUAAGAAUUCUAACAUGUUUGAUGGUAACCACGGGCCUGCUGGCGGCUCAGGCGGUGGCGGUUUUCAUGGCCAAGGCCAUCCGGGUAGUCAAGGCGAUUAUAGUCAGCAAUCCGGCCAGGGCAGUCAGCAACAGCAGCAACAGCCCGUGUAUCAGAGUAACCCAAAACAGCUGAACAGUGGACAGUACCAUGUGUUUACCACCAGUUUGUGCAAGAGGGACCAGAAGCUUCAGAAGAGGGAUGUAAAUGCUAUUGAGCCGGCGGUUCCACGUUAUUUGAGAUGGUCUGAACAACCUAUUCUGUGGAGUAGGGAAGAUCACCCACCCCGGGUUGAUAAUCCGGGUCAUCUGGCUUUGGUGGUGGCGCCUCAGGUUGGUGGAUAUAAGUUCACUAAAGUGCUCAUGGACGGAGGCAGUAGCAUCAACGUCCUCUAUUAUGAGACGUUCUGUCGCAUGGGGUUGACUGAUAAGAGUCUUAAAACAUCCAACACUGUUUUUAUGGGGUAGUGCCUGGUAAGUCGGCGUACCCAGUUGGUAAAAUUGAGCUGGAAGUGGCCUUUGGAGAUGAGUAUGAUUCUAGGGCUGAGAAGCUAACUUUUGAAGUGGUUAAAAUCAAGAGCCCAUAUCACGCUCUGUUUGGACGGCCGGCUUAUGCUAAGUUCAUGGCCCGGCCGUGUUAUGUGUAUUUGCAGCUCAAAAUGUUGGGUUAUAAAGGCACUAUCAUAGUACAUGGAAGCCGGAAAAUAGCCCUGGAAUGUGAAGAAGGUGAUGCUGCAUAUGCCGAGUCUGUUUGUGCAACAGAGGAAUUGAAGUUUUAUAAGGAUAAUGUUGACCCGGCAAACAUGGCGUCUUUGAAGAAGCCAACUACGGAGCAUGAGCCGGCAUUGAAAUUCAAGUCCGCUGAUGACACCAAGAUGAUUGAUUUCGUGUCUGGCGACUCAUCCAGACACUUCAUUAUCAGUGCUAACUUGGAUCCAAAAUAGGAAAGCGUGCUCAUCGAGUUCAUCCAUGAGAACCGGGACAUCAUUGCAUGGAAGCCUUCUGACAUGCCGGGUGUUCCGAGAGAACUCGUUGAGCACACUCUCAAUAUUCAUCCAAAGUUUAAGAUGGUCGGGCAAUUUCUUCGGCGGUUUAACGAGGAAAGGUGCAAGGCCAUUGGAGAAGAGGUGGCCCGGCUCUUGGCGGCCGGGUUCAUUGUUGAAGUUUUUCACCCAGAGUGGUUGGCUAACUCGGUGCUUGUGCUUAAAAAGAACGGCACCUGGCGCAUGUGUGUGGAUUACACAAAUUUAAACAAGGCUCGUCCAGCUGAUCCUUUUGCUCUCCCUCGUAUUGAUCAAAUCAUUGAUGCUACGGAGGGUUGUGAGCGUUUGAGUUUUCUGGAUGCUUAUUCGGGUUAUCAUCAGAUCAAGAUGGCAGUUAAGGACCAGGAGAAAACAGCUUUCAUCACUCCGUUUGGAGCCUUCUGCUAUGUGUCUAUGCCUUUUGGGCUCAAGAGUGCCCACGCGACUUAUCAGCGGUGUGUACAAAAUUGCCUUCAUAAUCAGAUUGGGUGUAAUGUUCAUGCUUAUGUGGAUGAUAUAGUGGUGAAAUCCAGAGAGAAGGAAACCUUAGUAGCUGAUCUAAAGGAAACCUUUGGUAACCUCCGGGUCUACAAGAUGAUGCUUAACCCGGCCAAGUGUGUUUUUGGAGUCCCAGCUGGCAAGCUCUUGGGUUUUUUGGUGUCUAAUGGAGGCAUUGAGGCUAACUCGGAGAAAAUAAAGGCAACCACGUCUUUGGCUAAACCGGCAUGCAUCAAUGACGUUCAGCGGCUGGCGGGCCGUGUCGCAGCUUUAAGCCGGUUUAUAAGUCGGUUGGGCGAGAAGGCUAUGCCAUUGUAUCAAAUGAUGAAAAAGGUGGAUGACUUUGUAUGGAGUGACGCUGCUGAUUCCGCUUUUGAAGGUUUGAAAAGACAGCUUGCUGGGCCACCUAUUCUUGCUGCCCCCGUUGAGAAGGAGCCGCUAUUGUUAUAUGUGGCUGCUAACUCACAAGCCGUCGGCAUGGCCAUUAUUGUGGAGCGCAAGGAGGUUGGCAAGGAACAUCCAGUUCAAUGGCCGGUUUACUACGUCAGUGAGGUGCUCAUUGGAUCCAAGAAAAGAUACCCACAUUAGCAAAAACUUGUUUAUGGGGUGUUCAUGGCAAGCCGGAAGCUUAAGCAUUACUUCCAGGGUCAUCCUAUCACUGUGGUUAGCUCUGCUCCUUUAGGAGAUAUUAUUUAGAACAGAGAAGCCACAGGACGAGUCGCCAAGUGGGCCAUUGAGCUUGGGGUCUCAUAAUAUAAAGUAUGUGCCACGUACGGCUAUUAAGUCUCAAGCACUGGUGGACUUCAUUAAUGAUUGGACGGAGUUACAGACACCUGAAGAGAAGCCAGACAACACAUAUUGGACGAUUCAUUUCGAUGGGUCCAGGCAGUUGGAAGGCUCGGGGGCUGGAGUUGUGUUAACUUCUCCUCGAGGUGACAAGUUUUGUUAUGUGUUGCGAUUGAUGUUUCCUUGUACUAACAAUGCAGCAGAAUAUGGGGCCUUGCUCCAUGGUCUUCGAAUGGCUAAAGAGAUGAGUUUAAGACGGGUACGGUGCCUUGGCGACUCAGAUUUGGUGGCUCGGCAGGUGUCAGGCAAGUGGGAUUCCAAGGACCCUCUCAUGGCGGCUUAUCGCCGGGAAGUUGAUGAUGUUGUUGGACAUUUCAAAGGUUAUCAGGUGGAGCACAUUGACCGCAGAAAAAACAAAGCGGCUGAUGCUUUAAGCCGGUUGGGAUCACAGCGUAAGCUGGUGCCACCUAACACUUUUCUAGAUGUUCUUCAAAACCCUUCUGUCAAACUGCCUACAGAGGAAGAUUUGGUCAUUCCAGACCCGGAGGCACAGUUAGUAGCGGCUCUUCAUGUUAUUCCAGAUUGGACAUUACCGUAUUUGGCUUACAUGACCCGGGGUGAGUUGCCAGAGGAUGAGACCUUGGCUCGACAGAUAACCCGACGGUCUAAGUCAAUGACAAUUUCCAAUGGUGAGUUGUAUCAUCGCAGCGUCACUGGAGUGUUUCAACGUUGUGUCUCUCCCGAAGAAGGUCAAGAAAUUCUUCGUGAGAUCCAUGAAGGGGAUUGUGGUCAUCACGCUGGUUCAAAGUCUCUUGUGGCUAAAGCUUUUCGUCAUUGUUUUUACUGGCUAACGGCUCACGCUGAUGCAGAGGAUCUGGUCAGUAGGUGUGAUGGGUGUCAAAAAUUUGCACGACGAGCGCACGUGCCGGCUUAAGAAUUGCGGAUGAUUCCAAUCACUUGGCCGUUUGCAGUCUGGGGGCUUGACAUGGUUGGACCUUUUAAAAGAUCCAAGGAUAAAAAGACACAUCUUUUGGUGGUAGUUCACAAAUUUACAAAAUGGGUUGAGGCAGAGCCGGUUAGUAAGUGUGAUGCAGCCACGAUGGUUCAGUUCAUGAAAAAGGUGAUCUUUCGUUUUGGCUUUCCACAUAGCAUUAUAACUGACAAUGGUACUAAUCUGUCCAAAGGCAACAUGGAGGAGUUUUGUCAAUGUGAGCAUAUCCGGCUUGAUGUUUUGUCUGUAGCUCACCCCCAAUCCAAUGGUCAAGCUGAGAGAGCAAAUCAGGAAAUCCUAAAAGGUCUCAAGCCCGACUUAUGGUUCGUUUACAACGGACGCCGGGUUGUUGGGUGGAGGAAUUACCCUCGGUGCUGUGGAGUAUCAAUACCACUCCUAACAGAUCUACAGGUUAUACACCUUUCUUCAUGGUUUAUGGAGCAGAAGCAGUUCUGCCUAGUGACAUCCGUCAUGACUCACCUCGCGUGGCGGCCUAUGUUGAAGCUGAUAAUGAACAAGCCCGACAGGAUGCACUUGACUUGUUAGAUGAGGAGAGAGAUUUGGCAGUGGCUCAAUCAGCAAUUUAUCAACAAGACUUGCGCCGUUAUCACAGCCGCCGGGUUAAGUCCAGAACCUUUCAAGAAGGUGACCUAGUGCUCCGGCUCAUCCAGGAUCUGUCUGAUGCACACAAGCUAUCCCCGCCUUGGGAAGGACCCUUUGUGGUCAACAAGAACUUAAACAAUGGGUCAUAUUACCUCAUUGAUGUUCGAGAGCACAAAGACCCACGUAAGUCGGAGGAGGAGACCCGCCGGCCGUGGAACAUCGCUCAGCUUCGGCCAUACUACACUUAAACCAUCGGCUCUCAUCAUGUACAUACUUUGACGUUGUAUAUAAUAUGAUAAGUAAUAAAGCAGGACCUCUGUCCUUUUUCCCCUUCAAUGAUCAUAUAUCUUUAUUAUUUUCAUUAUUUAAAAUGACCAUUAGGGGGCUGAUCGUAUCCGAAUCUAGCUUAACCCUUUUGGUCCGGCUCAUGAUCGUAUUCGAAUCUAGCCGUAAAACUCAUGGUCACUUGGGGGCUUCCUGUUCAAACAUAGGUCGUAUUCGAACCAAAGAGAACAUAGCUGUCGUAACCCUCUUGAUCGGCUCAAAGCCAAACUCACUAGGGGGCUUCUUGAUCGUAUCUGAAUCAUAGCUUAACCCCUUUUUGGGUCCAACUUGGAUCGUAUUCGAAUCAGGGUCGUUAAAAACCUCUCAAGGUCAUUUGGGGGCUUCCUAUUCAAACAUAGGUCGUAUUCGAACCAAAGAGAACAUAGCUGUCGGUACCCUCUUGAUCGGCGCAACGCCAAAGCCACUGGGGGCUAUAUGAUCGUAUCCGAAUCUUAGCUUAACCCCUUUGGUCCGGUUUACUGAUCGUAUUCGAAUUAGAAGCCUCCAGUUUUUAUUUAAAUGUUUGAUUUACAUUGUCUGAAGCCUAGUGUUUUAUCUUACUAUUUUUAUCGUCUCAAAUCUAACUGUUAGUAUGGUUUCAAAUUAAACCGGCUUGGCUAUUUGACAAUGUGUCGCCAAGGCAUAACAGUCAUCAGACAUAUGGAAGUAUUGACUUCUAAAAAAGAUUGGGUUAUCAACCUCAUCAUCCGGGUCAUGUAAACCGACAGUCCAUGUUCAAAAACCACAGGUAUGACAGUGUCAUUCAUGAACAGACUUCCCUGGGUUUUUCGUCAGUCAAAGGAUUUUUCAGCCUUGUUUAUCUUACAUCUGGUUCUAUUUUUUCCACUAUGAUAAUUUCAUAAUCAUGUACCGGGUGUUUUGACCCGUCCGGUGCUAAGCCACCGGGACAGUUUUUUUCAUCUUUUACAGGAACAGAGUUAAAACAUUACAGAUGUAACCACGAUGUAAUGCAUAUAUAUAUUGACAUCAUGGGCAAAGAGUCAUAUGAAACAUCUUAUGCACGAUGGCAUAGGCAAAAUAUGCAAUUUUCAAACUAACCUAUUACAAGGCAUUGAGAGCCCAAAAGGUUAAACGGUUUUCUCUCUUAAGCAGGUCUUAAGCUAAAAACUGGAUUGUUCAGAUGGUUAUGACUCCUCCCUGGCCGUUUCACCUCCCUCCACUGGUUGGAAGCUGGGAUUGGACCAGUCAAAGCCGUUCAGAGCAAUGAACUCAGCCUCAUCGUCAAUUAGGCCGGCCGGGUCAAUUUGCAGGGCAAAAGUGUGUUGACGAACCGGCGGGAUAAGAUCCAUCACUUUAUAAGAGGGAGUCGCCAUCUUUUUAUUCUCCAUAUCAAAACCCGACUGAUAUUUUUCGAUGUUGGUCUCCUCACCAAGAAUGGUAGCCUGAGGACGAACUCCCCUCACACAAGCAAUAAAGUCAUCUUGCUCAAACGGAGUCCCGUCUUCCUUCAUGGUAGGGUACCCCUUAGCCACGUCCACCGGGUGUAAAUCGGGCACCCAGGCUUUGGAGCGGCUCAGGGCAGUCAGGGCUCCGACUCUGGCACAAGAUCGUUUGACCUCUUGAAAUCUGGCGGGUAAGAUCGAUAACUUCUUCAAAACAUCACUUAAACGGUUGGGUCCUUGGUUGGCAGGGGAUAUAUAUAGUAGAAAGUGCUCGUUGAGCACCAGUGUACAGUUGCUCCACCAAGGUAUAAACCGCCUUCAGUUUUGUCACACUAUCUUGACUCAGAUAUUUUACUUCGUGGACCUGUGAGUACUUUUUAACAAAGGCUCAGCAGGCGGCUUAUAUUUCUGGUUAAAAUAAAGUAUAAGUGACUAAUGCAAAUGACUUACCAAAGAUGGCGGAGACCAUUUGAUACACACGGUUUUUUAAGCCGGUGAGCUCCAUGGUAACCUCCUCAAGAGUCGCCUCUGCUGUCUUGGCACGUUGUGUCAGCAAGGUCUUCUCAUCGGCCCAGGAUUUCUUCUUCUCAGUCACACUGGUCUUCAAUUUUUCAGUUUUAGAGAGACUCAAUUGGAGUUUGGAGUUAGCAGUCUUUAUCUCCGCUUCUUGAUCCGCCAGCCGGGUCUUUGCAUCCGUCAAUUGAGAUCCCAAUUCAGUUAGGGCGGUCUACAAACAUGCAUAGGUGUGUCAAAAUUUAAACACAAGUUAUAUUGAUUAAAGUCGCGAGUGCUUUGCAACGCAACACCACUUGGCACUUGGGGGCUAAUGUCUGCCAAAGCAAUUUUAUGCAAAAUGACUCUUCUAUGUUUCAAGUCCCAAGUGUUUUACAAAGUAACAACGCUUGGCACUUGGGGGCUAAUGCAUGAUAUUCAGAAAGUUUUUCAAGAUGAGCCGGAUCACACUACUUAUUUGGACUAAUCUAAGACAGUUAUGAAGUUAAGUACCGGGUCAUUUAUGAUAAAUUGAGCCGGCCCUUGGGGACUACAUGUGAAGUUUAUACUAAUCCGUUGAACUUAGGAAAAAUCUAAAGACAAGGUAUCAACCUAUAUCAUAAGUCUACAGAUCAUUCAGGUUCAUCAUAAUCUGAAGACUUGGGGGCUGGCAGAGUAUAUAUAAACCGGAGAACGUACCUCAUAUUCUGUAACAUCCCAAAUUUUCAAUUUGGAAUGUUACACGUUAGGUCAUCAUGCAUAUCAUAUUUUAUUUUUCUUUUGGUUUUGAUCCUAGAAAAUCCUAAGCAACUCAAGGACCCACGGAGAGAGUUGGGGAUUUCAUUAUUUACAUAUUUGAGUUUUCUCAAAUUAUGUAAACAGGAUCAUUUGAUUUUAUUUAUUCUAUCAUCAAUUAUUUCUAUUACAAAAAUAUGAGAGAGGGAAUAAAAUGACUUUUCCAAAAUAUAGAAAUAUUGAGGAUUUAAUAAAAAAUCAAAUAAGUUUUAUUUCGGAGUUUUUUGGUAUUUUUAUUUGAAUUUAGGAAAAAUGCGCGUUUUUCAAAUUGUAGUUUGGGCCCAGAUAAAUGUUCACUUUAUCGGGCUUGAUUUUAGGAACCCGGCAAAAUUUAUUUCGUGAUUUUUGGAGUCCGUUUAGUAUUUCUUUUUAUUUUUCUUCCGAGCGGAUUUAAAAAAAAACUAGAACCGACUCCGUGCCGUAACCGGCCAGGAAACCUCCGCCCGGGGCCUUUAUAUAGCGCCCGAACCGGCCGAGAGAGAGAGAGAGGCCCGAAGCCAGCUAACCCUAACCCUAGCUAAGCCGCCGCCGCCUCCCAGCCGUCGCCGCCCGCCGCUGCCGACUCGCCGGAGCGCGCGCCUUUCGAGGUUCGCCGCCGCCUCGUUUUCCGUGAAGUUUUUUUUUAAAAAAAAAAUCUGUUCGUCGUUUUUCUUUUUCGUCGGAUUUUCCGCGGUUAUUUUCUGAUCGCGAUUUCUGAUCCGGUUUUCGUUUUAGUAUAACUUUUCGCUCGUUUAUCGGAAUCAGGCGAUUCAAGCGCCUGGAGUUUCGUCUCGAAACCCUCUUUCCGAAUAAUCAACUUAAACAAGUUUUUGCUACUGUAAAAUUUGCCCUAGAUCCAGAUUACUAGAAGGAAGUUGUUUUUUUUGCCGUUUGAUUUCUUUCGCUUCGUUCGAUUUGAUUCUUUUGCCAACCAGGGUUCUUAAGUUGAACUUUCUGGUUAGAUCUUCUAUUUGAGUUUUACUUGUGCAUUAGAUGAGUACUUAUUGUAUGCUUGAUGUUUGUCUGUGAUAGAAUACCCGGAGUGCGCCGCCUGUUACUUCGAAUCUCUAGGUUUCGCGGAUCAUCAGCAAGGCAAGUAACACUUUGAUCAUACCUUUUCUACAACCCAGUUUUAUUGCAUUAGAUCAAUCCUCACACAUUGCAUGAUUAGGAUCUAAUUAAAUUGUGGGAUGGGAAGUAGAUGAGGUAGUACCUAUUACCUGUUUAUUAUCAAACCUUUGGGAGUUACUUCUACGUUUGCUUAUGCCAUGUUAUGCCGGUAGACGUGGAUUGGGUGAGUGAUAUCCAUGACAGAUGUGAGAUUUAUAAUUAAGGGUUAUCUAAGGUGGCAACCUAACACACAUCUGGGUGGAUUGAGGCACCUGGGGUUACCAGGACUUGCCUGUUUUCUUUUGGACCGCCACCCAGGCCCAAAGGGAUCAUGAGAUUUUUCAUACUAGAAACUUCCGUGUGCAGCCACAAGCCAUUAUGGGCUCUGGCAUAGUUGACUAAGUUGUGCGAACUCUUACAGUGGUAGACUAGCAGAUGUAGGGGAAAGUAGGUGUACCGGUCUACCCGUCGUAAGGUGCUAGCGCUUCUGAAAGACUGUGUCUCGGUCAUCCGUUUCUCAAACACCUUGUAGUGCGAGAAACCAAACGGAGGUGAUCGAGUCUUGUGGGGAAAAGUGCGCAAACCUCUGCAGAGUGUAACAAACUAAUCAUGGUUAGCCGUGUCCCUGAUUAUGGACAUCUUGAGUAUCUAUUACCUGGAUUAUCAUGUGAAUCUCAACAUGUUACUCUAAAAUUAAUUUUGUGGGAUUUUAAUGAUGUUACUUAAUUGGGAUUGAGGAUGCUGUCAACCAUUCUCAAUGUUUAACAACCACCAUGAUAGUAAUUAAUUUUAUUCCUUUGAAGUAGGGAAAAAUUGGCUUUACGCAAAAACUGUAACCAUAGAGCUUUCCACCAGCCAAAUAUGCAUAUAGUAUAGUUGUUGCAUUCCAUUACUCUCUAUGUGUUACCUUGCCAGCAUAUUCCAUGUGCUGACCCGUUUCGGGCUGCAACGUUAAUGUUGCAGACUUUUCAGAUGACGAUUGAGGAAUUUUAGGUCGUGGUUCUAUACUCAGUGAUGCCGUUGGAGUUGAUGGACUCACUUAUCUUCCAAGCCUUCCGCUGUUAUCGUUAUUAGAUGGCCUUAAGCCAUAUUUAUUGUAAUAAGUUCUCUUUUGAGACACUCGAUGUAAUAAGUGUGUGAUUGCUACUCUGCUAUAAAUCCUCCGAGUACUGUGUGGUGUCAGCAUUACUGAUCCAAGGAUGACAUCGGAGCACAGAGAUCAGACUGUUUAAGGUCUGGUCGCUACAUAUUCCAGUUGCAAUUGCUUGACCAUCUCAAUUUCCGAGUCACGGCUGGAAUGCACAGGACUGAGAUAGCCGGACAGCAUGUCACUAACAUUCAGAUGAGCAUAGUGAGAGAUAUCAAAUUGUACUUUCUGUCUUUCCAAGGCCUCCUGUUUAGCAGAAUGCCUGGCCAGCACAGUCGGAUUACCCGGCGCAACAAAUCUGCUGCCAGUGAUCAAAACGUCAUGGUCAGAAGAUGCUGGCAGGUUAGCUGAACCGGACGGUCUGACGGUGGAUGGAUCGACAAUGGUUUCGUCAGCUGACGGCUCAGGAGGGUCCAAUUGAGCAUGGACAGCUAAAUCUUCUGGCGCUUCAGAUUGAGUGGGAGGAGUUGAUGUUGCCAGUUCAGGUGCAGGAUUUUUUGGGUCCUCUGCCGGUUUAAUCACCUUGGCUUUCUUGGACUUUGCUUGACCGCUAAGAAAGAUUUUUAUGAAAUAGUUAGUAUAAUGAUGCAGUUUUAAAAAUGUAGAGGAAAGAUGAUUUUCCUUACCCAUGGGCAGUCUUGAAAGCCGGAAAUUGAGUUUGGGAUGAGUCGCCAGAAGAGCGAGAGACCUCCUGCAAAGGUAAAAUAAAGUUAAGAAUAUAAGGAAAUAAAUUCAUGGAUAAAAACAAAGGACAAAGGUGAAAGAAACCUCAUUCUGGCGUUUUUGAGGAGUUUUUUCUAAGUCGAAAGGUGGUUCAUCAUCAUCAUUAGUCCGGGCCAGAUGGCGGCUCUCAUGUUGCUGCUUUUUCAAAAGAAAAUGAGGGUCCAAAUAAGCCAAAGGGUGCAAAAACCUUACUUUCCGGGUUACCAGUCGAAGUUUCUGUCUCGGCAAAGGGGCUGAGUCGUAGGAAAUAGUUACCUCUUCUUCCGCGGCCUGGCUGGCCCCCGUGUCAUCCUGGCAAUAGUCAGUGUCAAUAAGAUAGUUGAAAAUUUGGCCAAGGGAGAAAGGGCUACCUCCGACUCAGAAACAUCAUCAAGCUGGAAGAUGUCAGAUGCAGUCUUCUUCUUGGGCUUCCGGGUCGUUCUCUUGGCGGCUACGGCAGCGGAUCUAGCCUUCUUGGUAGCUUCAUGAUCAUACUUGGCCUUCCAGAAGUCAGAUUUGUCCUGUAAACAAAUAAAGAGGUUAAAAGGUCAUGCAAGUAUUUAAACUACUGAGGUAAACACAAAAAGAGAAAAAGGUCAAGAAGUUACCUCUGGUGUCGGGUUAAGUUUGCAGAAGGGGUUUAAUCCAACCUUGCUGUAGUCCUCGUAUUUGCCAUUCACGAGGAUGGUAGACAUUGCAACAAUGUCUUCUUCAGUUAAUUGUACAGAGCUAUAACGCAGAGAAUCAUUUGGGCCUCCGCCAUACUUAUACAUCAACUUGGAUCGGCGGCUUAGAGGGAUGACCCGCCAUGAGAUCCAGCAAUGGAUCAGGUCAACUCCGGUUAAGCCAUUUCCCAAUAAAGCUUGAAUCCUUUUGACAGAUGGGAUAAGCUUCUUGCGUUCAGCAGUAGUAAGCUUGUCAGGGAGCACAAACUUGGAAUCAAGACGCUCUUCACGAUAACCCGGCAGUGGUUUUUCAUCAGCCGGUGAUGUAUCUUGGCAGUAGAACCAGGUUUGCUUCCAGUCUUUGGGAUGGCUCGGUAAGACCACUAAAGGAAAAACGGCACCUUGUCAGCGUUGAAUUGAAAUUCUGCCAAGUUCCAAGCUAAGGCCGUUGGUGCACUCAUUCUGGCGGUUCAAGUAAAAGUACUCUCUAAAGAGCUCCACAGUUGGUUCUUCUUGAAGAUAUACCUCACAAAGAACUUGAAAAUUGCAGAUGUUGGAUAUAGGGUUGGGUCCAAUAUCUUGUGGAUGAAGCUUGAAAAAAUGCAGGACAUCUUGGACGAACUUUGAGCCGGGUGGUGAGAAGCCCCGGUUCAUGUGAUCUGUGAAAACGAUAACUUCGCCGUCUUUGGACUAAGGUCGUUCUUCGUCCGGGUCAGGAGCACGAUAAGACAUAACGCUUUUCUCUGGCAAAAAUCCAAUGGUGACAAAUUAUUUCAAGGUAUCUUCAGUAACUGUGGAAGGCACCCGGUUGCAGACAGUUGGCGCUUUUGACGGCAUGAUGAAGAAAGGGCAAGCUGAAAAGAAAGUAAUUUGCCGGUUCAAUUUAUUGGUGGAGUUACAGGUUCAUGAUUAUAGUACAGAUGAGUAAUGGCGGCUUAAGUAAGGGCUAAUGACAUGUAAAGGAAAAAUAAGCCGGAGUCAUAAGCCGCCAUGACUAAAAAGUAUUUGAAGGUUGCCAGAAUCAAAAUUGACUAAAGUGUUGAGACAAACAGGUUUCCCAAGUUGUGGCUAUUAUUAUGGAUCAAAAUGGUUCAGAAAAUAAAAAUAAAGUUAGACCUAGAAAACGAGCACAGAGGAGUUUGUCAGCUCUAAAGAGGCAUUUAUACAGGAGAAGGGGAUCUGUUAGCUUCAAAAAUGGAUGAGAAAUAGCUACCUCAUAAGUUUUGUACUACUUUUAGAUCAAAAGAGGGUGCGGUAAGAGAAGUUGCAACGAAUCUAUGACGAACAACGAAGAACACAAGAAGGAAACCUCCCGAACCCUAAUGCAGAUCUAUGGGGGUGAGAAGGUGAGAGCUUACAGGUGCGGAGCUGCUGCGGAGGAUCGCCACCGUUCUCUGGAUAGACUCAGGGUGAUGCUGCGGCCAGAGUUGAGGACGACGGUGCGCUACGGUGGCGACGGAGCUCGAGCGGCAAAGAAGGUGCGAGAGGAAGAAGAAAGAGGAAGGACUGGCCGAGCCUAUUUAUAAGGGGGUAAGUGAACGGGCAGACGCAAAAAUUGAGGAAGACCAAAGUAAUGAUUAUCCAGCUAAAUGGACGCCUCGAUCUUCGGAAAACAUUUAAGAUAAGGAUCCGUUGAAGAUGAAAUCGUGGUGUUUUUCCAAAUUUUUUCAAUCCUAAUGGUUGGUUAAUAAAAUAAGCUCAGUGAAUAUACAAGGCGAUAGUUUAUUAUAAGACUUGUAGUAGGCCCAAGCCCAAAGGCGGUUUAAGGCCCAUAAUUGUAAACCGCCAUGUAUAAGAAAGACUUGUAAAGAAAGGCAUGUAAGAGAAGUCACCGAGCCGAACACGUUAUAUGAGCCGGCCGGGACUCUGUAGGCUGCCAGGCGUCAACCCAUGUAUAUAAGGGGAUGACCCGGUGGCUGCUUAGGACAAGUAACAUCAAAUCAAGAGCCAUGCAUAGCGUAUUUGCUCCCUGAUCAUCGAAACCUAGCAAUAUCACAUCAACUGGACUAGGCUUUACCUUCACCGUAAGGGGCCGAACCAGUAUAAACCUUUCGUGUCCUUUGUCCCGAUUAACCCCUUUAAGCUUCCUAGUUGCGAUGGCUCCACGGCUAAGUCCUUUCACUAGGACAUCAUCCGUGACAAUUCCACGACAACUCUGGUGCGGAUCUUACUAUGGUUGACCUACGAGGUUCAGCGGUAACUUGAUCUGAAGUUUCAUGAUCAUCAUCAUUAGCUUCCUCACUAAUUGGUGUAGGAAUCACUGGAACUAAUUUCUGUGAUGAACUACUUACCAAUUCGGGAGCAGGUACAAUUGCCUCAUCAAGUUCUACUUUCCUCCCACUCACUUCUUUCGAGAGAAAGUCCUUCUCUAGAAAGGAUCCUUUCUUAGCAACGAAUAUAUUGCCUUCGGAUCUGUGAUAGAAGGUGUACCCAACAGUCUCCUUUGGGUAUCCUAUGAAGACACAUUUCUAUGAUUUGGGUUCGAGCUUAUCAGGUUGAAGCUUUUUCACAUAAGCAUCACAGCCCCAAACUUUAAGAAACGACAACUUAGGUUUCUUGCCAAACCACAGUUCAUAUGGUAUCAUCUCAACGGAUUUAGAUGGUGCCCUAUUUAAAGUGAAUGCAGUCUGAAAGUGCGUUAUAUCGACUAGAGGGGGGGUGAAUAGGCGAUUUUUAUGAAAGUCUUCAAAACAUGGAAGUUUCGAAGACAAACGAUAGAAAUAAACCUAUUACCAUGCAGUGGAAGUUAGACUACACUAGAUAAACCGUAGUCAUGUAUUCAAUGAAGUGAAAGGACAAUGACUAAUAGUAGCUAGGUAGUAAGGAUCAGGCAGGAAGAUAUUAAGAAGCCAAACGGAUCACACAGUCACUCAGUGAAGACAAAAGAUAGAGAAAACAUACAAUGACUUCACACAGAGUAACAGUAAGUAAAGAGAAGGGAAGGAUGAAACCAGUGACUCGUUGAAGACAAAGAUUUGUUGGACCAGUUCCAGUUGCUGUGACAACUGUACGUCUGGUUAGGGCGGCUAGGUAUUUAAACCAAAGGACACACAGUCCCGGACACCCAGUCCUGAACACGCAGCUCAGGACAUCCAGUCCUCACCGUAUUCCCCUUGAGCUAAGGUCACACAGACCUCGCCCAAUCACUCUGGUAAGUCUUCAAGGUAGACUCCCAAACCUUCACAGACUUCGUUCACCGGCAAUCCACAAUGUCUCUUGGAUGCUCAGAACGCGAUGCCUAACCAGCUGGAGGAUGCACAGUCCUCAAGUGUAAUAAGUCUUCAGAUCACUCAGACAAGAAGACUUAAGUGAUGCCUAAUUCUCUUUCGCUCUGGGUGGUUAGGGCUUUAUCCUCGCAAGGAAUUCUCUCUCAAAGGCUUCGAGGUGGGUUGCUCUCAAACGACAAAAGCCGUACUUUGAAUCUGAGUAGCCAACCGUUUAUGGUUGUAGGGGGUGGGCUAUUUAUAGCCACUAGGCAACCCGACCUGAUUUGUCCGAAAUGACCCUGGGUCACUAAGGAACUAACAUGUGUUCCAACGGUCAAAUUUCAAACUCACACGGAAACUUUACUUGGGCUACAAGCAAAGCUGACUUGUCCGACUCUGGACAAGAUUUUCUCUCAUAGUCUUCACUCGAAGACAUAGGUUUUUGUUUAAGCAUCACUUUAGUCAUUCUGACUGGCUCUCUUGGACCCCACUUAACAGUAUGUUGGUUCCUAUGACUCAACACAGAAGAAAAAGAACUACGAAAAAUCUAAGUGUUCAAGCUCCAUAGGCUUCAUGCGGUGUCUUCUCUUGUCAUAGUCUUCAAUGUGAAUAUCUUCAUAUACCACCUUUGACAUCAAUGUCUUCAUACACUUUUAGGGGUCAUCUCUGGUGGGAAAACCGAAUCAAUGAGGUACUUCUACCUGUGUUAUCCUGCAAUUCUCACAAACACAUUAGUCCCUCAACUAGGUUUGUCGUCAAUACUCCAAAACCAACUAGGGGUGGCACUAGAUGCACUUACAAUCUCCCCCCUUUUGGUGAUUGAUGACAAACUAGUUGAAGUUUUCAACGGGGAAUAUAAUGUGUGAAAUUGUAAAGGAUAAGGAAUUGUCUUCAUAAGUUACAAGGGCUCCCCCUGAAGAUGUGCAUAUAAGUAAUUUGCUUUUGGAAUGCAAAUGCACAUGGCAGGUUGUGCUUGUGGAGAUCCACUUCAACUUAUGAUGACAAUCCACUAUGCAUGUGAAAGUAUGUGAAGAUAAUGACAUGCAUAAUGGAAAAUGGAUGUCUGCAGAAUGAUCUAAGUGCGGAAUCUAUCAUCGCACAUGCGGAAUUUAUCAUCACAACACAAGGUAGCAAAUAGGUAGCAGACGACCAUCAAGUUUAAGUGUUACAACUCAAAGAACCAAAUGUUUCAAAACGAGAGUUGUAAGCACGAAGCAAAAUAUAAAACACCCGCCCAUAUGGACCCAUUUGAAGACUAUCAAACUCAUAUGCUUCUCCCCCUUUUGACAGUAAGGACCAAAAAGGUUUGAAGACAUAGAGCCUCUACUCGUUCCCAUGAGGAGUAGGUGAAGCAGCAGGAUCGUUGAUGGUGUUUGGCAGUGCAGACGAGCUUGGAGCAGUGUCGACGUGUGCUGAAGGAGGCGGCGAAGAAGUAGCAUCGUCUUCAUCCUCGAUCACUCUGGCAUUCACGGUUGCAGUAGAGGAAGAGAACUCAGGGUCUUCAAGUGAUGGAGUUCGUCGCAGCACAGCCCUGCGAGGAGGUGUGGAGUCAAACUUGAAGCGCUCAGUGAAGCCAUCCUCUUGCAGAUCAUCUUCAGAACACAGCAGCGUCAGCCCUUUCCAUGUGCGUCGAGAUGUUUCAUGAGCAACAAAGGCGUUCUUGGUGGCAAGAUUGUGAAUGCGAUUAACAUCCACCAAGAGGCUUUGCAUUUGACGCUUUAGCCAGUCAUGAUGCCUAUCCUGUUUCUGAUGAAGGGCCACCAGAAGCUCUCGGUCAUUGAGGACACGAGUGCGCUUCUUGGGUCGUUGAGCAAUGGUGCUAUCAGUGGCUUCAGUAAGAGCAGGAUGCGGGGCACGGGUAGUGCCAGCCAAAGGAUACACACGUGUUACUGCUUCAAUGCCUUCAACGUUCCGAGAGAAACUUUGAUGCUCUGCAUUCUGAAGACUUAGAGGUUCCUUGGCAGGCUCAGGAUAUAUGGCUUCAAUAGACAUAUCCACAUCAGGCAAAAAGAUCCGAUGAUUGCGGGCAGAUGGCUGAUAUGAGAUAGCAGAGUGAAGUUUGAUCAGCCGCAUCACCCAAGGGGCGUAGAACUUCAACCCAAAUAGAUCAGAGCCAGAUGCAGCAAGUUGGCGAAUGAAGAAAUCCUAUGUAUUGAAGCAUUUUCCAUGAAGAAUAUAGAAGACCAAAGUCUUCAUUGCACCUUCCAGCUGGGCAUGGGGAGAAUGUCCUUUGAUUGGCCAGAGAGUUCGCCUUAUGAUAUGAUAAAUGGUCCUUGGCAGAUACUCAAGGUCUUCAACAAAGAACUCCGUGGGAUAAGCAGCAUCUUGGGGCAAUGGCUUCAUCAUACUGAGCAUCUGACUCAUAUUGGGUUCAGUCUUCUGAAAGAUGCUCUCAACAGCUUCAAUGUGAAGCUGACAGCCAUGCUCAUAGAGAUCGCCAGGAGUGGGCAAGCCAGUGAGCUCAAUGAUGUCAAAGACUUUGGCUUCGUGAUGAACAUUUCCAGUCAUCCACUCUAGGACCCAAGUCUUUGGAUCUCUGUUAUACCCGCGGAUGUGAAGUGUGGCAUAGAACUGGAGCAGCAACUCUUCAUUCCAAUGCUCUUGGUCAGUGACGAAUGGUAGCAGCCCAACUUCAUUGAAGCAAUCCAAAGCUUCUUCCAGACAGGCAGACCAGCUAUAGCUUCAAUGUCAAGGCGCUUGUGUGGGAAGAUGCGACCUUUGUUGUAAAGAAUGCAUGAGUAAUAGCUUCGCUGCUGAUAGCUCCAGAACCGAUCAGAUGAUAUUCUUUCCCUGGAGUAGGGGUUCCUGGAGCUAUUGAAGAAUGUGUUGUCUGCUCUGAAGCCAUUGAUGUUAAAGGAGCCAGGUGCUAAUGCAGGACCUGGGAACCUGGGCAAUCUUGGGAUUGGCUUCUGGACCUGAGGCCUGUGCUCAACAUGAUAGUCGAAUUGGGGACCGGCAGCAGACGCAGGAACAGGAGCAGCAGGAUUAGUGGCUUCGCUGACUUCUGGUGCUGUUGGGGGUGAGGGCUCCACAUUAGCUUCAGCCAUGACGGUGUCAGUGGCUUCAGUGGUGUUGGUGGUGGCAGCCUCUAGAUUUUCAACCUCCACUUGACGAGCUGGAGGGUCGGUCAUGAUCACGUUCUCCUCGAGAACCGCUUCUUGGUGGGGCAGGGGAGUAGCAGCUUGUGGAACUUCUUCUUCCGUGGCUGAUGCAGCUAGAUUGUCUUCAGCAGAGACUUGAGGCCUUGGACCUUUGUGAAGCCUGCGCAACGCGGGCGAUGCCUGUGGAGCUGGAGUGGGCUGGGCCUCAUAGUCUUCUUCCUCUUGUUGGCGAUCCGCCCAUGAAGCAUCCUGUGCCAUUGGCGUCAGUGGACGACCAAUGCUGAUGAGUUCGUUGUUUUCAAGCUGAGGAAGAACUGCACCAUCUUCUACAUGGUCAUGUUGACCAAUGUCUUCAGCAGUGAUGGGAUCAGCUGUUGGAAAGUCUUUAGCUUUAUGAGCCUCUGUGGAAGCAGGCUCAUGGAUUGUCAGUUGGCGUUCAGCUUCAGGAUAGACCAUUGAAAUAGGUUCAACUAUCAAAGGCUCUGUGGGAGCAGCCUGUUCCUUCUUGGUCUUUCGUUUCUUCUUGGAGGGGGCAGUAGGAGAGGCUUCAGGAUGUUUCCUCUUCCUGGCUUCAGCCUCAGCAGUCCUUGUCUUCUUGAGCUCUGAAGCGGUUGACCGGCUUUUUGGCUUCAAGCCAGUCAGUCUAGUUGGGAAGACAAUCGGAACUGCUUCCUGCCUUGGUGCGUCGGAUUCAGCCGUAGCAGUCUUCUUCUUCUUCUUUGCGGCCAUCCUAGGGUCAAUGCCAGGACGCCCAAGGGCCUUGCGCUUCUCAGCCUCAUUGUAGGCUUGCACACAUCUGUCAGCCAGAGCCUUCAUGCGCUCACGUGAAUCCCGAGCUUCUGCACAUUUCUUCAGAAAGGCUUCCUUGAGCUCGUGCAUCAUGAUCUUGAAGUUCUUCACUUCUUGCACACUGAGCUUGGCCAUAUGCUUCUUGAACUGAGCCUUUUCAUAGUCAAUCUUCUGCUUUAGUUCAACAACGUGUCGGGCGAUGGCUAGCUCUGAAGCAAUGGCGCCUUGGAAGGCGACACUGAGGCCAAUGGGUAGCUGCAGAUCAUCAAAGCUGAUGUUUGGCAUAUCAAACCACUCGUCAAUGAAGUUGUGGAUGAUGGUUACAUCAAAGAGAGGCAGAUCAUUGAAGAUUUCGGCUUCUUCUUUGCUCUUGAUGAGUUGCUCAAGAGCGUCAUCUGCAAGAUCUUCAUCACUUGACAGAUCAAUGUCAUCAUUGCGCAGAAUGGCAGCAGCUGUUAGCUCUUGGCCGGUGUGUGGCAGAGGCAUCUUGGCCUUCUAGGGCUUGGAGAUGCGUGAUAAAUCUUCGGACUGCACACUGUCUUCAGGAGAUGCAGUUGCCAGUGGCUUCGCCCUUGAGAUUUUUGGUGAAGGGGCAGGCUUUGAAGCUUUGGGCUUCUUCAACUUCUUUGGUGUUGGCGCUGCAGGCGCUUCAUCUGAUUCAGCGUUAGCUGCAGGCUCAUUCACGGUUGUCCCUUGAACCAAGAUAUGGGUGAUGAGUCCUGCAAGGUUGUAGAAAGGACCGACGACAUUGGGUUCCGCAUCGCGUGUGCCGUCAGCCCUUGGAGCAGAAGGACCAGGGUUGAAGUCUAAUCCAAAAGACUUCUUGUUCUGCUUUGCUGAGUUCUUGGCAAACUGGAAGUUGCGCUUGAAUAGAUUGUCGUCACGGCACCAUAGUAGUGACGAUGGGUGUGCAUCUGCAGGCUGUGGCCCACGCACCAUGCAGGGAUAGAAGCCUUGUUCAAUGGCUUCUUCUCUGGACCUGGGUUGAAGAUUCUUGUAUAGGAUGUCUCCCCAUGGUCUCUUGAUGGCAUUUCUCUCAGCAUAUUCCUGGGUCACAAACCGGUAUUUGAACCAUUGUUCUGCCCAAUAUCUUCGAAUCCAUUGGAUUCGGGUCUUGCGCUGAUUAUAAUCCUGUUCAGGAUCUGUCUUGUAAAGCUCUGAGAGGUCAUCAGGAAAAUCUCUUGAUGUCCCCCCACGACGCUGUCUGCCACCCUUCCUUACUGAUUUCUCUGCAGCCAUGAACUUCAAACUGAAAGGCUUCAAAACGUUCAAAGGCUUCAAAGGUUUUCGCUUGCUGGACAAACAGGAACUGGCUUCGGGAGAAUUUAUAUGAUGCUGUAAGAAUUCUGCAAAUGAAUGCAGACUAUGAGAACCAAGGGAUUCUCCCAUGGACAUGUACCUGUGACAACAUUAAGGUGCAAGGGAAGGGGAAGAGGUCAUAUGCAUUCUCAGGAGAUUUUGAAGAUAAAUCAGUUUAGAAGACAUUGACCUCAUCGUGCGAAGACAUUCACUCAUAGAUAAGGAGUUGGUUCCAGAUUUGUACGAAUCCAGUGAUCAGUACAAGUGAGGAAUCUAACUACUUGUGAAGCAUAAGUGAAUAUACUAGGCAUGUUAUGAGAUGCAGUAGGAAAGAGAUCCAACUUGUGUGAAUAGAAACUUCUUAUGGUAGAAAGUGACAAAGCCAUAGGAUCAAAAGGGGCCGUAAAAAGAAGUUUUAUUUACCACACUUGGAACUGCUAGAUGGAGUGGAAGAGGAGGCCGAGCAGUUCGAUCUUCUGUGCCCUAACUUGGCGACGAAGGACACCUACGGCGACGGCGGAGAGGACGAUGUCCGCGGUCGGUGUGAAGACGGCGUCGGAGAGGUUGCGGCAGUGAAGCGCUUCGUCGCCGGCGUCGUCGAGGGCUAGCAGUGGCACUAGGGUUCGUGCGAGGGUGGAAGAAGAGAUGAUGACCGCUGUGAAGGGUGUAUUUAUAGGUACAGGGGCGGCACUGCGUUAUUACACAGGUGCCCCUGGCGAUUCACAUCUGAGGAACACGUGGCCAUCAUGCAGUAUAUUGGGGUUUGUUCCACGUCUCACGCACGCCUAGAUUGUCGGGUGGUCGUUCCUACUUCUCCGGGUUUCAUGUGGAGGAAUGGGCAUUGAAAACGGACUUAAUGUUUGUCUCUGUAUGUUCUGCUGACAAGGACGCAGAGAAGACAUUCGACAGUUUCAAUAGAAUGCAUAUGAUUUGGAGAGAUAGAGUUUGAGAUAGAGAGCACAGAGAGGUUAGGGUCCGAUCACAUUCACUUAGAUCAAAAGAUUCAACAAGAAGACAUAGCUAUAAGUGAAUACUGUAGAGGACAGAACACUAGUAUAUAUAUAUAUAUAUAAUCAACAUAGUGAAGAUAAUCAUGAAAACAUGUUGAGAUUGAAACCAAACCAAAUGUGAAGUCAUAGCAAGGUAAUGCCAUGAGUGAAACACUUCAAAUAGAACAUUUGGUGGUGGCGUUACCCACCGUAUAGGAAGUAUUAGACCCAGACACGGCGCACAAUUAUCGUGGCGCUCCGAAGUCAAAUUCCACAUUAAUGUAUUCACACUUAGAAUGUAUGUCUUCAUUGAUUGAAGAUAUACUUUACUUCGUGUGUUGCACAUCUAAGUCAUCAAUAUGCAUAAGGGUUAGGAUGUGUGCCUGAUCACAGGACAUUUGAGGAUUCCAGGAUAUUUAGCUCACAUCGUAACUUGCAAAAUCUCUUCUCAUCCAAGGGCUUGGUGAAGAUAUCUGCCAAUUGCUCUUCAGUGUUGACGUGUAUGAUAUCAAUAUCUUCCUUCACAACAUGAUCUCUGAGAAAGUGAUGACGAAUUUCAAUGUGCUUUGUCUUCGAGUGCUGAACAGGGUUGUUGGCAAUCUUGAUGGCGCUUUCGUUGUCACAGUAGAGUGGCACUUGCUUCAGAUGAAUGCCAUAGUCCUUGAGGGUUUGCUUCAUCCACAGAAGCUGAGCGCAGCAAGAUCCAGCAGCAAUGUAUUCAGAUUCAGCAGUGGAGAGAGAUACACAGUUCUGCUUCUUUGAAGACCAACAUACAGGUGAUCGUCCCAGAAAAUGACAUGUGCCUGAUGUAGACUUGCGAUCCACCUUGUCACCAGCAUAAUCAGCAUCCGAGAAUCCAACCAGAUCAAACUCUGAGCCCUUUGGAUACCAUAAUCCUAGAGUUGGGGUGUGAGCCAAAUAUCGAAGAAUUCGCUUCACAGCUAGGUGAUGCGACUCCUUUGGUGCCGCUUGAAAUCGAGCACACAUGCAAACACUAAGCAUAAUAUCUGGCCUAGAUGCACAUAGAUAAAGCAAAGAACCAAUCAUGGAGCGGUAUACCUUUUGAUCGAACUCUUUACCAUUGUCGUCAGGACCCAGAUGAUGCUUGGCUGGUAUUGGCGUCGUGAACCCUUUGCAGUCUUGCAUACCGAACUUCUUAAGGCAAUCCUUGAGAUGCUUCUCUUGAGAUAUGAAGAUGCCGUUGCGUUGCUGUCGUAUUUGAAUACCGAGGAAAAACUUCAGCUCUCCAUCAUGGACAUCUGAUAUUGCUCUUGCAUCAUAUAUCCAAACUCUUCACUGUACUUCUGAUUGGUGCAGCCGAAGAUAAUGUCAUCCACAUAUAUUUGGCACACAAACAGUUAACCAUCAUAUGUCUUCGUGAAGAGAGUGGGGUCGAGGGAACCAGGUAUGAAGCCUUUGCUCUUCAGGAAGUAUUUGAGUGUGUCAUACCAGGCCCGAGGGGCUUGUUUGAGGCCAUAUAGUGCCUUGUUGAGCUUGUAUACCGUAUCAGGAUGUUUUAGAUCUUCAGAGCCAGGUGGUUGUGCAACAUACACUUCUUCUUCAAUCUUUCCAUUGAGAAAGGCGCUCUUCACAUCCAUUUGAUAAAGAAGUAUGUUGUGAUGAUUUGCAUAGGCCAGCAGUAUGCGUAUGGCUUCAAGUCUAGCCACAGGAGCAAAUGUUUCAUUGAAGUCAAUGCCUUCCACUUGAGUAUAUCCUUGAGCAACUAGACGAGCUUUGUUUCUGACAACUUGACCAUGCUCAUCUUGCUUGUUGCGGUAUAUCCAUUUUGUGCCUAUUAUGUUGUGCUUCCGAGGAUCAGGACGCUUAACCAGUUCCCAUACAUUAUUCAGCUCAAACCGUUGAAGCUCUUCUUGCAUAGCUUGAAUCCAUUCAGGUUCCAUGAAGGCUUCUUCCACUUUCUUGGGUUCUGUUAUUGAGACGAAUGCGAAGUGCCCACAGAAAUUUGCCAGCUGGGUUGCCCUUGAUCGACUGAGCGGACCAGGUGCAUUGAUGCUGUCAAUUAUUCUCUCAAUUUGCACUUCAUUGGCAACACGAGGAUGUACAGGGCGAAGACUUUGCUCUUGCUGAUCAUUGUCGUUGUUGGAGGGAUUGUCUUCAGGUUGAGCAUUGUCUUCAGGUUGAUCUGGUGCAGAGAUGAUGAGUUCCUCUUCAGGAUGAGCUUUAGAAGGUAUGAUUUCUCCAGUUCCCAUUAGCUUGAUUGAUUCACUGGAUGGAACUUCAUCUAGCACAUUUGGCAGGUGCUCUCUUUGUGAACCGUUAGUCUCAUCGAACCGCACAUCCACGGUUUCAACCACUUUAUAAUGAAAGAGGUUGAAGACUCUGUAGGAGUGCGAAUCCUUUCCAUAUCCAAGCAUAAAACCCUCAUGUGCUUUUGGGGCAAACUUUGAAGUGUGAUGUGGGUCCUUGAUCCAGCACCUUGCGCCAAAUACUCUGAAGUAACUGGCAUUUGGCUUCUUGCCAGUGAGGAGCUCAUACGAUGUCUUGUUCAGAAGCUUGUGAAGAUAAACACGAUUGAUUGUAUGGCAUGCAGUAUCAAUGGCUUCAGGCCAGAAUUUUCUUGGAGUCUUGUAUUCAUCUAGCAUUGUUCUGGCCAUCUCAAUGAGUGUUCUGUUCUUGCAUUCGACGACGCCAUUCUGCUGUGGCGUGUACGGGGCUGAGAAUUCAUGUGUGAUGCCCAAGGUAUCAAGAUAUGUAUCAAGGCCAGUGUUCUUGAAUUCAGUGCCAUUGUCACUUUUGAUGUGCUUUAUCUUGGCACCAUAGUUGUUCAUUGCUCGAUUGGCGAAGCGUUUGAAGACAUCCUGCACUUCAGUCUUGUAAAGGAUUAUAUGCACCCAAGUGUAUCUAGAAUAAUCAUCAAUAAUGAAGAAGCCAUAGAGACAAGCAGUAGUAGUAAGAGUUGAGUAAUGAGUGGGACCGAAAAGAUCCAUGUGAAGCAGCUCGAAGGGUCGAGUAGUAGUCAUGAUUGUCUUCGAGGGAUGCUUGGCCCUCGUCAUCUUUCCUGCUUCACAGGCACCGCAUAAGUGAUCUUUCUUGAACUUGACGCCCUCAAUGCCUAUGACAUGCUUCUUCUUUGCCAGGGUGUGGAGGUUCCUCAUGCCAGCAUGCCCAAGCCUCCGAUGCCAGAGCCAGCAUUCUGAAGCUUUUGCUAGAAGACAUACGGCAAGUUGUGGUCCUGCUGAGAAAUCUACCACGUACAGAUCGUCUUUCCGAUACCCUUCAAACACUAGAGACUUGUCAGAUUCCAUUAGAACAAGGCAACAAUAUUUUCCAAAUAUUACGAUCAUGUUCAAAUCGCAUAGCAUUGAGACAGACAUUAAGUUGAAGCCAAGGGAUUCAACAAGCAUGACUUUAUCCAUGUGUUGAUCCUUUGAGAUUGCAACUCUACCUAGACCCAAUACCUUACUUUUACCAGUGUCAGCAAAUGUGAUGUGGCUCUUGUCGGAAGGACGUAAGGUUGAGUCCAUCAGAAGGCUUCUUUUGCCAGUCAUGUGAUUUGUACACCCACUAUCAGUAAUCCAUUCUGUAUACGCUGGUGUCGUACCCUACAGUGCAGUUAGGGGGAUAGGCUUCACGAAGAGAGUUGUGAAGCAAAAACAUUUGACGAACCAGUGGGUUAUGAAAGCUUAGAUCCAGAUUAGUACUGAUAGGGAGAGUAGCAAGCGAUUCAGGAACGAAGUACAUAGUAAGACCAUUCGGCAUUUGAUCUUGCGCCCUACAAGAUGUUUAAGGUCCCCAGCGAUAGCGUCAGAAGAUUUUGGUUUUCUGCUGGAGACCUUUCCCUGCAAAAGAGAGUUAAGCCUUCUUAACAACCCACAUCUUCAAGGGUGGCUUAGAAGCGAUAAGUCUAAGUGCAGAGUCUGAAAACUUUGGCUUUGGGGCUCUAGCAAAAAGUCUUGCAGGUGGACAAUAAUACUCAUAAGAAUAAGCAGAAUAGUUUUUGGUCUUAUGAACAUGGCGGUUCGAUGAACCGCGCUCAUAUUCAUAGGCCUGAGUAUGGUUUCCCUGCAAAACAUUUGCAUUAGUCCGACUCAGGUGAGUCCUCUGUCUGUAUGAAGCCUUUGGGCCAUAUGAAGCCUGUGGUCUGGGGUUUGUCUUCUUCAUCUAUGGUGUCAUGAUGACAUUCACAGGAAGAUUUUCCAAACACCUUUUGGGCACCCAGACCUUCUUCAUAGGCGGUCCAUUCCUGCAGUUAGUACCAAUGUACCUGGCAAAAACUUCACCAUUCUGAUUCUUAAAUAGUUUAUAGUUUGCAUCAAAGGAUUCAUCAAUGACAAUGGGGUUAGCACAAGUGAAGCCAGAUAGACUGGAUGGAUUUGCUGAAGGUUCCUUUGCAGCAACCCAUGUGGUUUUGGGAUACUGCUCGGGUUUCUAGUAAGAGCCAUCAGCAUUCAUUUUCCUUAUGAACCCAACACCCUCUUUCCUCGGGUUUCGGUUCAGAAUCUGCCUUUUGAGGACAUCACAUAGUGUCUGAUGCCCUUUAAGACUUUUGUACAUCCCUGUUUCAAGCAAUGUCUUCAACCUAGCAUUCUCAUCAGCAAUCGCAGUAGUAUCCUCAGUAGAGGGGUUAGUUACCACAUCAACAGUUGAAGAUAUUGCAACAGUAGCAGUAGUAGAACAUUCAGCAACAGAAGCAGCAUUAUCACGCUCAAUGCAUUUAAGACAUGGUGGUUCAAAUCCUUCCUGAGCGGAACUGAUCUGUUCGGCGCGAAGUGACUCGUUUUCCUUUUGAAGAUCUUCAUGAGCCGCUCUCAAUUUCUCAAGAUCUUGCUUCCUUUGAAGAUAAUCAUAGGAAAGCUUUUCAUGAGUUGUUGAGAGCGUUUCAUGACAACUUUCAAGUUCCUCAUAUUUAACGUGAAGAUUUUUUAUGUCUUGAAUUAAGGAUUCAGAUCGAGUCAUUUCAACGCCCAACAAAUCAUCGCUUUUGUCUAACAGUUUUUGAAUAUGUUCCAUGGCUUUCUGUUGUUCAGUUGCAAUUUUAGCAAGUGUUUUGUAGCUGGGUCUUGAAUCACAAUCAGAGUCAUCAUCACUAGAUGUUUGAUAGUGAGUAGUGCGUGUGUUUACCUUGGCACCGUGUGCCAUGAAGCAGUAGGUAGGAGCAGAGUCGUCCUUGUCAUUUGCAUCGGCGUCGGUGGUGAAGUCAUUGUCUUCAGUGUUGAAGAUGGACUUGGCAACGUAUGCUGUAGCCAGACUUGCAACACCAGAAUCGGACUCCUCCUCAGACUCCACCUCCGCCUCCUCAGACGCGGACUCCUCCUCUGAAUCCAUUUCCUUGCCAACAAACGCACGUGCCUUGCCAGAUGAGCUCUUCUUGUGUGAUGAAGACUUUGAGGAAGACUUGGAAGAAGACUUUGAGUAUUUCUUCUUCUUCUUGUCGUCAGAGUCAUAUUCCUUGCUCUUCUUCUUCUUUCUAUUCUCAUUGUCCCACUGCGGACACUCAGAGAUGAAGUGGCUAGUUUUCUUGCACUUGUGACAUGUUUUCUUCUUGUAGUCAUGAGCAGAAGCUUCAUCAUUCCUUGAGCUUGAUCGUGAAGACUUUCUGAAGCCUUUCUUCUUGGGGAAUCUUUGGAACUUCUUUACAAGCAUAGCAAGUUCCUUUCCAAUGUCUUCAGGAUCGUCAGAACUGCUGUCAGAUUCUUCUUCAGAUGAGGAGACAACUUUUGCCUUCAGGGCACGAGUUCGCCCAUAGUUUGGACCGUAGAUAUCUCUUUUCUCAGAAAGCUGAAACUCAUGUGUGUUGAGCCUCUCAAGUAUGUCGGACGGAUCGAGUAUCUUGAAAUCAGGUCGUUCUUGAAUCAUCAGGGCUAGGGUGUCAAACAAACUGUCAAGUGAUCUCAGUAGUGUCUUGACGACUUCAUGCUUGGUGAUCUCAGUGGCGCCGAGCGCUUGAAGCUCAUUUGUGAUGUCAGUGAGUCGGUCAAAUGUGAGCUGGACAUUCUCAUUGUCAUUUCGCUUGAAGCGGUUAAAGAGGUUGCGAAGAACGCUGAUUCUCUGAUCUCUCUGGGUUGAGACGCCUUCGUUGACCUUGGAGAGCUAGUCCCAGACCAGCUUCGAUGUUUCCAAAGUGCUCACACGGCCAUACUGUCCUUUGGUCAGAUGACCACAGAUAAUGUUCUUGGCAGUAGAGUCCAGUUGAACGAACUUCUUGACAUCAGCAACAGUGACACCUUCUCCAGCCUUGGGAACGCCGUUCUUGACGACAUACCAUAGGUCGACGUCAAUGGCUUCAAGAUGCAUGCGCAUCUUAUUCUUCCAGUAGGGAUAUUCAGUUCCAUCGAAGACGGGGCACGCAACGGAGACUUUAAUUAUCCCUGCAGUCGACAUAGCUAAAACUCCAGGUGGUUAAACCGAAUCACACAGAACAAGGGAGCACCUUGCUCUCAUACCAAUUGAAAGUGCAUUAUAUCGACUAGAGGGGGUGACUAGGCGAUUUUUAUGAAAGUCUUAAAAACAUGGAAGUUUCGAAGACAAAUGAUAGAAAUAAACCUAUUACCAUGCAGCGGAAGUUAGACUACACUAGAUAAACCAUAGUCAUGUAUUCAAUGAAGUGAAAGGACAAUGACUAAUAGUAGCUAGGUAGUAAGGAUCAGGCAGGAAGAUAUUAAGAAGCCAAACGGAUCACACAGUCACUCAGUGAAGACAAAAGAUAGAGCAAACAUACAAUGACUUCACACAGAGUAACAGUAAGUAAAGAGAAGGGAAGGAUGAAACCAGUGACUCGUUGAAGACAAAUAUUUGUUGGACCAGUUCCAGUUGCUGUGACAACUGUACGUCUGGUUAGGGCGGCUAGGUAUUUAAACCAAAGGACACAUAGUCCCGGACACCCAGUCCUGAACACGCAGCUCAGGACACCCAGUCCUCACAGUAUUCCCCUUGAGCUAAGGUCACACAGACCUCGCCCAAUCACUCUGGUAAGUCUUCAAGGUAGACUCCCAAACCUUCACAGACUUCGUUCACCGGCAAUCCACAAUGUCUCUUGGAUGCUAUAACGCGACGCCUAACUGGCUGGAGGAUGCACAGUCCUCAAGUGUAAUAAGUCUUCAUAUCACUCAGACAAGAAGACUUAAGUGAUGCCUAAUUCUCUUUGGCUCUGGGUGGUUAGGGCUUUAUCCUCGCAAGGAAUUCUCUCUCAAAGGCUUCGAGGUGGGUUGCUCUCAAACGACAAAAGCCGUACUCUGAAUCCGAGCAGCCAACCGUUUAUGGUUGUAGGGGGUGGGCUAUUUAUAGCCACUAGGCAACCCGACAUGAUUUGUCCGAAAUGACCCUGGGUCACUAAGGAACUGACACGUGUUCCAACGGUCAGAUUUCAAACUCACACGGCAACUUUACUUGGGCUACAAGCAAAGCUGACUUGUCCGACUCUGGACAAGAUUUGCUCUCAUAGUCUUCACUCGAAGACAUAGGUUUUUGUUUAAGCAUCACUUCAGUCAUUCUGACUGGUUCUCUUGGACCCCACUUAACAGUGCGGUGGUUCCUAUGACUCAACACAGAAGAAAAAGAACUACGAAAGAUCUAAGUCUUCGAGCUCCAUAGGCUUCAUGCAGUGUCUUCUCUUGUCAUAGUCUUCAAUGUGAAUAUCUUCAUAUACCACCUUUGACAUCAAUGUCUUCAUACAUUUUUAGGGGUCAUCUCUGGUGGGAAAACCAAAUCAAUGAGGUACUUCUACCUGUGUUAUCCUGCAAUUCUCAUAAACACAUUAGUCCCUCAACUAGGUUUGUCGUCAAUACUCCAAAACCAACUAGGGGUGGCACUAGAUGCACUUACACAGUCGUCUCUAAAGCAUAACCCCAAAAUGAUAGCAGUAAAUUAGUAAGAGACAUCAUAGAUCGCACCAUAUCUAAUAAAGUGCGGUUACGAUGUUCGGACACACCAUUAUGUUGUGGUGUUCCGUGUGGCGUGAGUUGCGAAACUGUUCUGCAUUGUUUCAAAUGAAGACCAAACACGUAACUCAAAUAUUCACCUCCACGAUCAGAUUGUAGAAACUUUAUUUUCUUGUUACGAUAUUUUUCCUCUUCACUCUGAAUUUUUUUGAACUUUUCAAAUGUUUCAGACUUAUGUUUCAUCAAGUAGAUAUACCCAUAUCUGCUCAAAUCAUCUGUGAAGGUCAGAAAAUAACAAUACCCGCCGCGAGCCUCAACACUCAUCGGACCGCAUACAUCCGUAUGUAUUAUUUCCAACAAGUCUAUUGCUCACUCCAUUGUUCCGGAGAAUGGAGUCUUAGUCAUCUUGCCCAUGAGGCAUGGUUCGCAAGCAUCAAGUGAUUCAUAAUCAAGUGAUUCCAAAAGUCCAUCAGCAUGGAGUUUCUUCAUGCGCUUUACACCAAUAUGACCUAAACGGCAGUGCCACAAAUAAGUUGCACUAUCAUUAUUAACCUUGCAUCUUUUGGCUUCAAUAUUAUGAAUAUGUGUGUCACUAUUGUCGAGAUUCAAUAAAAAUAGAUCACUCAUCAAGGGUGCAUGACCAUAAAAGAUAUUACUCAUAUAAAUAGAACAACCAUUAUUCUCUGAUUUAAAUGAAUAUCCGUCUCGCAUCAAACAAGAUCCAGAUAUAAUGUUCAUGCUUAACGUUGGCACCAAAUAACAAUUAUUCAGGUCUAAAACUAAUCCCGAUGGUAGAUGUAGAGGUAGCAUGCUGACGGCGAUCACAUCGACUUUGGAACCAUUUCCCACGCGCAUCGUCACCUCGUCCUUAGCCAAUCUUCGCUUAAUCCGUAGCCCAUGUUUCGAGUUGCAAAUAUGAGCAACAGAACCAGUAUCAAAUACCUAGGCGCUACUACGAGCAUUAGUAAGGUACACAUUAAUAACAUGUAUAUCAAAUAUACCUUUCACUUUGCCAUCCUUCUUAUCCAUCAAAUACUUGGGGUAGUUCCGCUUCCAAUGACCAGUCCCUUUGUAGUAGAAGCAUUCAGUCUCCGGCUUAGGUCCAGACUUGGGCUUCUUCACUUGAGCAACAACUUGCUUGUCAUUCUUCUUGAAGUUCCCCUUCUUCCCUUUGCCCUUUUUCUUGAUACUGGUGGUCUUGUUGACCAUCAACACUUGAUGCUCCUUCUUGAUUUCUACCUCUACAGCCUUUAGCAUUGCGAAGAGCUCGGGAAUUGUCUUAUCCAUCCCUUGCAUAUUAUAGUUCAUCAUGAAGCUUUUGUAGCUUGGUGGCAGUGAUUGAAGAACUCUGUCAAUGACACUAUCAUCAGGAAGAUUAACUCCUAGUUGAGUCAAGUGGUUGUGGUACCUGGACAUUUUGAGUAUAUGUUCACUAACAAAACUAUUCUCCUCCAUCUUACAGCUGUAGAACUUAUUGGAGACUUCAUAUCUCUCAAUCCGGGCAUUUGCUUGAAAAUUUUACUUCGACUCCUGGAACAUCUCAUAUGCUCCAUGAUGUUCAAAACGUUGUUGAAGUCCCGAUUCUAAGCCGUAAAGCAUGGCACACUAAACUAUCGAGUAGUCAUCGGCUUUGCUCUACCAGACGUUCAUAAUGUCCGGUGUUGCUUGAUACGUCUCCGUCGUAUCUACUUUUCCAAACACUUUUGUCCUUGUUUUGGACUCUAACUUGCAUGAUUUGAAUGGAACUAACCCGGACUGACGCUGUUUUCAGCAGAAUUACCAUGGUGUUAUUUAUGUGUAGAAAUAAAAGUUCUCGGAAUGACCUGAAACUUCAGGGAACGUCUUUUUGGAAAUAAUAAAAAAUCCUUGCAAAAGAUGAAGACCAGGGGGCCCACACCCUAGCCACGAGGGUGGGGGCGCGCCUGCCCCCCUAGGCGCGACCCCUACCUUGUGGGCCCCCUGGAGCUCCUCCGACCUCAACUCCAACUCUAUAUAUUUGCUUUCAGGGAGAAAAAAAUUAGAGAGAAGGAUUCAUCGCGUUUUACAAUACAGAGCCGCCGCCAAGCCCUAAAACCUCUCAGGAGGGCUGAUCUGGAGUCCGUUCGGGGCUCCGGAGAGGGGAAUCCGUCGCCAUCGUCAUCAUCAACCUUCCUCCAUCACCAAUUUCAUGAUGCUCACCGCCGUGCGUGAGUAAUUCCAUCAUAGGCUUGCUGGACGGUGAUGGGUUGGAUGAUAUUUAUCAUGUAAUCGAGUUAGUUUUGUUAGGGUUUGAUCCCUAGUAUCCACUAUGUUGUGAGAUUGAUGUUGCUAUGACUUUGCUAUGCUUAAUGCUUGUCACUAGGGCCCGAGUGCCAUGAUUUCAGAUCUGAACCUAUUAUGUUUUCAUCAAUAUAUGAGUGUUCUUGAUCCUAUCUUGCAAGUCUAUAGUCACCUACUAUGUGUUAUGAUCUGGCAACCCCGAGGUGACAAUAAUAGGGACCACUCCCGGUGAUGACCGUAGUUUGAGGAGUUCAUGUAUUCAUUAUGUGUUAAUGCUUUGGUCUGGUACUCUAUUAAAAGGAGGCCUUAAUAUCCCUUAGUUUCCGCUAGGACCCCGCUGCCACGGGAGGGUAGGACAAAAGAUGUCAUGCAAGUUCUUUUCCAUAAGCACGUAUGACUAUAUUCGAAAUACAUGCCUACAUUACAUUGAUGAAUUGGAGCUAGUUUUGUGUCACCCUAGGUUAUGACUGUUACAUGAUGAACCGCAUCCGGCGUAAUUCUCUAUCACCGAUCCAUUGCCUACGAGCUUUCCAUAUAUUGUUCUUCACUUAUUUACUUUUCCGUUGCUAUUGCUAUCAUCACUACAAAAUACCAAAAACAUUAAUUUUGCUAUCGUUACCUUUUGCUACCGUUACCACUACUAUCAUAUUACGUUGCUACUAAACACUUUACUACAGAUAUUAAGUUUCUAGGUGUGGUUGAAUUGACAACUCAACUUUCAACUGCUAAUACUUGAUAAUAUUCUUUGGCUCCCCUUGUGUCGAAUCAAUAAAUUUGGGUUGAAUACUCUACCCUCGAAAACUGUUGCGAUCCCCUAUACUUGUGGGUUAUCAAGACUAUUUUCUGGCGUCGUUGCCGGGGAGCAUAGCUCUAUUCUUUGAGUCACUUGGGAUUUAUAUCUGUUUAUCAUUAUGAAGAACUUGAGAGAUCCAAAAACCAAGAUUUAUCUCUCAACUACGAGGGGAGGUAAGGAACUGCCAUCUAGCUCUGCACUUGAUUCACCUUCUAUUUUGAGUAAGCUUGCGACACCUAAACCUGCUUCUGCUAUUCAUUCUGAUAUGUCGCAUGUUAUUAAUGAUGCCACUUGUGCUAUGCAUGAUACUUAUGAUGAAACUACUUCUAUGCUUGAUACUACUGUGCCACUUGGUGAAUUUCUUGAUGAACAACUUGCUAGGGUUAGAGAGAAUGAAAUUAUUGAAACUGAUAAUAUAUAUAUAUAUAUUUGAAUAUAUACUGUAGGGUAAAACCCCCACAGCCCUUUAUUGCAGUCUCAAAAAACAAACUGUACAGUGAAAGAAAGAGAUGACAAGCCUAAACGAAAAGUUAAGAAGAACUUACAAUUACAUGAGGGAGUUAACUCAAUCUACAAGCCUAGACUUAGAGCUAUCCUUAAACCUAUGUGACAGGAGAAGAAUGUCAUGUACAAAACUGCCCCUCCAGGCAACAAAAGUAGCCCGUAGUCCCCUGAAAGUUCUUCCAUUUCUCAGAAUCCAUAUAUUCCAAGCAGCUGUGAGCAUAACUUCAAAGAAGAAAGGAUACCCAAAUCGCUGCCUUGCUUGAGAUAUACAUUGCUGAAUAGAAGAACCAUGUGACCAAUCGAUCUGCAGGUAUUUCCAAACCCUGGCACUGAAAUUACAACCAAAGAAUAGGUGAGCCCUGUCCUCCCAAACAAAGGCAUUACAGAUGACACAUAGAUGAUCAGCCGUAGGGGACCUCCGGUGGCUGCGGACCAGCACGUCCUUUGUGUUGAGUCUGUCAAAGAAUAGGAGCCAGCCAAAAACCUUAAUUUUCAUAGUACAUAUGCUCUGCCAAAGCCACCUGCAGGGUUUAAUAGUUGGGAGGUGUGUAUGCAUGAUGUCAUAGAAGCUCUUUGCAGAAAACUGUCCAGAUUUACCAGGCCAAAUCCAAACAUCAGGCAAUGUUGGAUCUCUCUGGAGAUUGAACAUCCUUCCUUCCAAGGAUUCCAAUUCUGCUGCUGCCUGCUGAGAAAUUGGCAGAUGAAACAUUGAGAACAAAUCCUGGGUUUGCAAAAACUCCCUGACAGAAACCUUAUCAUCCAAAACAAAAGAGAAAAGCCUUGGUAAUCUGAGGCUUAGUGGCCUUGAAGAGCCACCUACAUGGCAAGCAUCCAGCCAAAAGAGAGCAGAAUCACCCAUAUUAACUGGCACUGAAGCAAUUGACCUAUAAGUGUCAGCAAGCUUGAGAAUGUCCUUCCACCAAAAGGAGCCAGUUAGGACUGUUGCAUGGGGCACCACUCCAUCAUAAUAACUAUCCCAAAUCAACUGGACCCAAGGAAUCUGCUGUUUGUUGUAGAACUUAUGCAUUUGUUUGAGAAGCAGACCUUGAUUUUGAACAUUGAGGUUGAGAAUGCCAAGUCCUCCCUUAUCCUUUGGUCUGCAAACUAAAUCACAGGCAGCUAGGGAUUGCUUAGGCACAUCAGAAUUUCCUCUCCACAAACACUGCCUGAAAAUCCUAUCCAACUGUUUGAUAAUACCAGGUGGGAUAUGCAAGCUGCAGAGGAAGUAUAUGGGCAUUGAAGUAAGCACAGAUGUGAGAAAUUGUAACCUGGAUCCUUGGUUGAGCAUGGCAGAGCUAACAGACAGUCUUCUUUCAAGACUAUCCACUAAAGGCAUGAAAUCAAUGAUUCUAGGUCUUGUUGUACCAAGAGGCAAACCCAGAUAUGUGAAAGGUAACUGCUCCGGUUUACAUCCCAGGAUGGAAGACAACCUCUGUGCCUCUGUGGGAUCAACAUUUAGUGGCACCAUUGAAGACUUUCCAAAAUUUACCUUUAGGCCAGUAGACUGUUGGAAAAUAUGGAGCAUGUUCUUGAGAGCCACCAACUGGUCCUGUACUGCAGAAAGGAUAAUUAUUGUGUCAUCUGCAUACUGAAUGAUAGGAAAUUCAGGGUCCUAAGAUGGGAUUGGAAGUGUUAGAACUCCCUUAGCCAGCAUGUUAUUGACCAUUGUUUGAAGAAGAUCGGCAGCUAUGACAAAUAAAAGAGGGGAUAGGGGAUCCCCCUGCCUGACCCCACAUUUAUAUUUGAACUGUUUGCCAGGCACCCCAUUAAGCAAAACAGAUGAUGAUCCUGAGGAGAGAAUCUCUUUAAUCCAAGAAAUCCAUUUGGCAUCAAAACCUUUGUGCUGUAGAACUUGCAAGAUGAAGUCAUGCUCCACAGUGUCAAAAGCUUUGGCAAAAUCCAAUUUCAAAAUGAUGGUUGGCCUUUUGGAUUGAUUGCAUUGAUGUAUAUAUUCAAAAGCCCAAGCCAGGCAGUCCUGAAUGGCUCUGCUCUUCAAAAACCCAUAUUGAUUCUUAUGGAUGCAUUGCAGAAUGACCUUUUGAAGCCUAUUUCCCAAAAGCUUAGUAAGGAACUUGAGGCAUGUGUUAGUAAGAGAGAUUGGUCUAAAAUCCUCAAGUCCUUCAGGAGACAACAUCUUUGGAAUUAAGGUGAUAAGGGAUCCAUUAAUAUUUUCCAAAGAUAGCCUCCCAUCAUAAAACCCCUGAAUGAGAGCCAAGAAAUCCUUCUCAAUGAUGGGCCAACACUUCUUAACAAAAAGACCAUUAAAACCGUGAAAGUGAUGAUGAAGAUUCUCCCCCUAAUAAAUAUGAAUUGCCUGUUGUGCCUGAGGGCUAUGUUAUGGAUGAAGAAAUUGCUAAAGCUAUUUUUGUUUGCAAAGAUAGAUAUGAUCUUAAGAAGUUAUUAGCUAAAUGGAAGCAGCAAUCUCUUAAUGCUAGAAUGAAACCUGACCCUGCUUUUGCUACUUCACCUAUCUGUGUUACUGAUAAGGAUUAUGAAUUCUCUGUUGAUCCUGAUAUAAUUACUUUGGUUGAAUCUGAUCCUUUUCAUGGCUAUGAGUCUAAAACUGUUGUGGCACAUCUUACUAAAUUAAAUGAUAUAGCCACCCUAUUCACUAAUGAUGAGAGAACUCGUUACUUUUAUAUCCUUAAAAUAUUCCUGUUCUCAUUAAAGGGUGAUGCUAAGAUAUGGUUUAAUUCUCUUGAUCCUGGUUGUGUGCGUAGUCCCCAGGAUAUGAUUUAUUACUUCUCUGCUAAAUAUUUCACUGCUCAUAAGAAACAAGCUGCUUUGAGGGAUAUAUAUAAUUUUGUGCAAAUUGAAGAAGAGAGUCUCCCACAAGCUUGGGGGAGGCUUCUCCAAUUACUUAAUGCUUUGCCUGAUCAUCCUCUUAAGAAAAAUGAAAUAUUGGAUAUAUUUUAUAAUGGACUAAGUGAUGCUUCCAGAGAUUACCUGGAUAGUUGUGUUGGUUCUGUUUUCAAGGAAAGAACACCGGAUGAAGCUGAAAUUCUAUUGAAUAAUAUGUUGACAAAAGAAAAUAAUUGGACACUUCCUGAGCCAGCUCCUGAGCCUAUUCCUAAACCAACUCCGAAGAAGAGGGGUAUUCUAUUUCUCAGUCCUGAAGAUAUGCAAGAGGCAAAGAAAUCCAUGAAAGAAAAGGGUAUUAAAGCUGAAGAUGUUAAGAAUUUACCUCCUAUUGAAGAAAUACACGGUCUUAAUUUACCGCCUGUUGAAGAAACAUAUGAUCUUAAUCCAUUACCUAUUGAAGAAAUACAUGGUCUUGAUAACCCGACACAAGUAGUAAAGGUAAACUCUCUCUAUAGAUAUGAUAAAAUUGAAAUCCCUCUUACUAAGUUUGCUAGCCAAUGCUUAGAUGAGUUUGAUAAUUUUAUGGUGAAGCAAGAAGAUUUUAAUUCUUAUUUUGGUAGACAAUUGAAAUACAAUUCAAAUAUGCUUGAACACUUGGGUGAUUAUAUGGCUAAUGUUAAAGGUGAAAUUAAACUUAUUAGCAAACAUGCUUCUAUGGUUACCACUCAAGUAGAACAAGUACUUAAAGCUCAAAAUGAUUUGCUCAAUGAACUGAAUAGUAAGAAUAAUGAUAAUGCUGUUAGAGUUAUGACUAGAGGUGGUAAAAUGACUCAAGAACCUUUGUAUCCUGAAGGCCAUCAUAAGAGAAUUGAGCAAGAUUCUCGGAGAAAUAAUAUAGAUGCACCUAGUUCUUCUAAAAGGAAGAAAAAGAAAAAUGAUAGGACUUUGCAUGCUUCUAGUGAACCUAUUGAUGAAACACCUGAGAAUCCAAAUGAUAUUUCUAUUUCUGAUGCUGAAACACAAUCUGGUAAUGAACCUGAAACUAGUGAUAAUAUUAAUGAUAAUGUUCAUGUUGAUGCUCAACCUAGCAAUGAUAAUGAUAUAGAAAUUGAACCUGUUGUUGAUCUUGAUAACCCACAAUCAAAGAAUCAACGUUAUGAUAAGAGAGACUUUGUUGCUAGGAAACAUGGUAAGGAAAGAGAGCCUUGGGUUCAGAAACCCAUGCCUUUUCCUCCCAAACCAUCCAAGAAAAAGGAUGAUGAGGAUUUUGAGCACUUUGCUGAAAUGAUUAGACCUACCUUUUUGCGUAUGCGAUUAACUGAUAUGCUUAAAAUGAAUCCUUAUGCUAAGUACAUGAAAGAAAUUGUUACUAAUAAAAGAAAGAUACCGGAAGCUGAAAUUUCCACCAUGCUUGCUAAUUAUACUUUUAAAGGUGGAAUACCUAAGAAACUAGGAGAUCCCGGAGUACCAACUAUACCAUGCUCCAUUAAAAGAAAUUAUGUUAAAAUUGCUUUAUGUGAUCUUGGAGUCGGUGUUAGUGUUAUGCCUCUCUCUUUAUAUCAUAGACUUGAUUUGAAUAAGUUGACACCUACUAAAAUAUCUUUGCAAAUGGCUGAUAAAUCAACUGCUAUACCUAUCGGUAUUUGUGAGGAUGUGCCUGCUGUGGUUGCAAACGUUACUAUUUUAAUGGACUUUGUUAUUCUUGAUAUUCCCGAGGACGAUAGUAUGUCUAUUAUUCUUGGAAGACCCUUUUUGAAUACUGCAGGGGCUGUUAUUGAUUGCAACAAAGGCAAUGUCACUUUUCAUGUUAAUGGUAAUGAGCAUACGGUACACUUUCCGAGGAAACAACCUCAAGUCCACAGUAUCAAUUCUAUUGGAAAAAUUCAAUCGAUUAUUUUUGAAGGUUUUGAAUUUCCUCUUCCUACUGUCAAAAGAAAUAUGAUAUUCUUAUUAUUGGGGAUGUGCAUAUCCCCGUUGAGGUAACAUAGUGUUAUUCGAAAUUCCUCCGGUUCCAUGUUAUUCGGAAUGAGUUUGCUAACAAGACUUGAUCAACCAUGUUAACGGAUUCCUUUUGAUGAGCAUGAGAUGGAUGAAACUAGAAGGCACAACUCUCCGUACCCUCCUUUUACUUUCUGUUAUUUAUAUUAAAUAAAAUUAAAAGAAGUAUUUUCCGUCUGUUAUCUGAUUUAUCCGUGCAAUAUAAAAUACCCCGAAAAUAAAAGUUCUCCAAAUGCCUUGAAAUUUAAAUAUGAUUUUUUCUGGAAUAUUUGAGAAUAUUUGGCACUAAGAACACAACACAGGGGGCAUCCACCUGGCCACGAGAGUGGAGGGCGCGCCCUACCCCCCCUGUGCGUGCCCCUUGCCUCGUGGGCCCACGGUGGCCCUCCUCCACUUAUUCCUGCACCCACACACUCCUUCCUCCCAUAAACACGAUUAUCCAGUUCGAACCCAAGUCCAAGCUCAUUUUGCUGCUAUUUUCGAUCUCCUUGCUCAAAGCACCUCUCACAAAACUGCUUGGGGGGAUUGUUCCUUGGUAUGCGACUCCUCCAUUGGUCCAAUUAGUUUUUGUUCUAGUGCUUUAUUCAUUGCAAAUUUAUGUUGUCUAGGUGCCCAUGUUCCUGAGCUUGCAUGUCAAAUUUAUGUGGUUCCAACUAGUUUUGAUGCAUGAUAUAGGCUCUAGGCACUUGUAGGAGUUGUUGCUAUCAAUUUUGUUGAGCUUGGCUCACUUUUAUUUGAAGUUACUAAAAAUUUCAGAAUUUUUCAGAAAAUAAUGAAGAGAUUUUUGAGGGGCUCAUCAAGCCGAAGCUCGAAGGAAAAGCAAAAUGAAAAAGCAGAGAGGCCCGAAUAUAAUCUGCCUCGCACCGCAGAGGUUCGGCCGUGUGAAUGGCCUUCCAAUGAUUUCUUGAGAGCAGUCGGGAUUUAUGAUGAUUUUUAUGAAUUGGCUGAGAAUGUAGGCCUCACCGCCUUCCUCCAUGACCAACGCGAACAAUAUCUCUUACUCACCAAUAUCUUUGUGCAAAACUUUCAUUUCCAUGCUAGGAGCUCACCACCUACGGUGGAGUUUUAUUUGUAUGAUGAGCACAAGGAGAUGUCACUUUACGAUUUCUGUCGGGUUUGAUUGAUCCCUUUCGAGGGCACAAUAGAGGAACCACACCGCGGUGAUGUGGAUGGGUUUAUAGAUACCAUCACUGUAGGGGAAACGAGGAAGGUUUCCGAUGCACGAAUCACUAGCAUACAUUUUCCUGUUUUACGCUACUUUGCAAUAUUUGCUAGUCGUUGCUUAAUUGGUCGCGAAAACUGUGGAAACCUUAGUGUUCCUGAUAUUAUUAUUUUGUUCCACGGUUUAUUCUGUGAUAAAUCUGUUAGUAUGGGCGGUAUUAUUGCUAAACGGUUAAGUCUCAACUGUACAAAGGGCCCCAUCUUUGGAGGCAUCUAUGCUUCACGCCUAACUGCGCAUUUUAACAUACCUAUUAAGCAUUAUGAGAAGGAAGAAAAAUUGCUGCCCCUGUUUAUUUAGAUUAUAAGAGUAUGGUGGCACACGAUUUUAUUGUUAAGAAUAGGAAAGGGGAGCUUAAAUACAAAUUGUUCUUUGAUAAACAUCAUCCUGAGACUAUUACCCUGCCUACUCCUUCCUUGUUUGAUUUAUCUCCAGGCAAGUACCUUGUUCCGUUAGAGGCUAUUCACGCCUACCGGAACAUUGCAUCAGCCACAGAGCCAGAGUCGGAACCACUAGUUGAUCCUCCACGACAGUCUAAUUACCAUUGGGAUCCAGAAAUGAUAGCCACCAGUGGAAAUCAGAGUCUUCUUCGCAGUACGACCCCAACUAUUACUAUGGAUAUCCGCCAGGCCAGCCGUGGCCAUAGACCAACUUAGGUCAAAAGCCUAAACUUGGGGGAGUACGUAUUUCCCGCCGACAUUACAUUCAUGUUCGCACACUCAUUGCUAGAUGUCGGUGCUCAUACUUUUUCAUUGUAUCAUCCAUGCUAGUUCAUUUCCUUUUUAAGCUUUCUUCUUGUGUGUUUAAUAAACCUUAAGAAAAACCAAAAAAACUAGUUGUAGCUUUUAGCUAGUUUUAAUUUCCAUGCUUGUAGUAGUAAUUAAAAAGAAAACCCAAAAAAAGAUUUCUUGUUCUUGUUUUGCUCGUUGGGAGCUUUCCCGUGUAAAUAGUUUUAUUUCUUUUCUUUGGGGGUCGAUAGGAGAAUACCAUGAUUAAAUUGUUGAAGUGGCUCUUAUAUAUAUUUUUUAUCUGACAAAAGAGCCCAUAUUGCCUUGUCUUCUCCAGUUUAUUGAAUGCUUGCAGAUUCCAGCUUAGUCCAAUGCACGCGCACUAUUAUUAUUAUCCACAUCGUUCGGUCGUGCAAGUGAAAGGCAAUUAUGACAAUAUAUGAUGGACUGACUGAGAUGAGAAAAGCUGGUAUAAACUCAACCUCUCUUGUUUUUGUAAAUAUGAUUAGUUCAUCGUUCCUGAUUCAGCCUAUUAUGAAUAAACAUGUUUGCAAUGACAACUAGAGAUCAUAGUUUCUUGUGCCAUGCUUGAUUAGCUAGGAGCUUAUAAUGGUUUACCUUGCGUGCCAACAUGCUAUUAAAAUGGUUGUGAUGUGGUAUGAUAGGGUGGUAUCCUCCUCUGAAUGAUUUGAGUGGCUUGACUUGGCACAUGCUCACGCAUGUAGUUGAAAUAAAAUCAACAUAUCCUCUACGAUAUUUAUGUUCAUGGGGAAUUAUAUCCUACUCAUGCUUGCAUUUGGUGUUGAUUAAUUUUAAUGCAUGUUUAUGAGUGUUGUCGCUCUCUAGCUGGUUGCUUCCCAGUCUUUUGCUAGCCUUCACCUGUACUAAGCGGGAAUACUGCUUGUGCAUCCAAUCCCAUAAACCCCAAAGUUAUUCCAUAUGAGUCCACCAUACCUACCUAUUUACGGUAUCUACCUGCCGUUCCAAGUAAAUUUGUAUGUGCCAAACUCUAAACCUUCAAAUAAAUAUCAUGUUUUGUAUGCUCGAAUAGCUCAUGUAUCAACUAGGGCUGUCUGUAUCUUCCAUGUUAGGCGGGUUAUUCUCAAGAGGAGUGGACUCCGCUCCUCACUCACGAGAAAAUGGCUGGUCACCGGGAUGCCCAGUCCCAUGCUUUAUGCAAAUCAAAUCAAAAUAAUUGCAAACAAAACUCUCCCUAGGACUCUUGUUAGUUGGAGGCACUCGUUGUUUUGAGCAAGCCAUGGAUUGAUGCUUGUUAGUGGAAGGGGAGUAUAAACUUUACCAUUCUGUUUGGGAACCGCCUAUAAUGUGUGUAGCAUAGAAUAUAUCGCCCUCUCUUGGUUGUUAUGUUGACAAUGAAAGUAUACUGCUCAAAAUAUUAUUCACCUCUAUUUCAAAACCGAGCUCUGGCACCUCUACAAAUCCCUGCUUCCCUCUGCGAAGGGCCUAUCUAUUUACUUUUAUGUUGACUCAUCAUCCUCUUAUUAAAAAUCACAAGUUGGAGAGCACCGCUGUCAUUUGCAUUCAUUACUGUUAGUUUACAUUGAGUAUGACUGGACUGGAUCUCUUUUACCAUGAAUUACAAUGUCUAGUCAGUCCUUGAUCUUUAAAGGUGCUCUGCAUUUAUGUUUUGCGGUCUCAGAAAGGGCUAGCGAGAUACCAUCUUGUUAUAUCAUAUCAUGAUUGUUUUGAGAAAGUGUUGUCAUCUGAGAUUUAUUAUAUUGCUCGCUAGUUGAUUAUGCCAUUGAUAUGAGUAAACAUGAGACCUAAAUGUUAUUGUGAAUAUGGUUAGUUCAUAAUCUUUGCUGAAAACUUGAAUGCUGGCUCUACAUAUUUACAACAACAAGAGCAAACAGAGUUUGUAAAAGUUUUUCUUUAUCACUUUCAGCUUAUCAACUGAACUGCUUGAGGACAAGCAAAGGUUUAAGCUUUGGGCAGUUGAUACGUCUUCGUCGUAUCUACUUUUCCAAACACUUUUGCCCUUGUUUUGGACUCUAACUUGCAUGAUUUGAAUGGAACUAGCCCGGACUUACGCUGUUUUCAGCAGAAUUGCCAUGGUGUUAUUUUUGUGCAGAUAUAAAAGUUCUCGGAAUGACCCGAAAAUCAACGGAGAAUUAUUUUGGAAUACAUAAAUAAUACUGGAAGGAAGAUCCACGUCAGGGGGGCCUCCACCUGUCCACGAGGGUGGGGGCGCGCCCUACCCCCCUGGUGCUACCUCUUGAGCACUGCGUUGGUUUUCCCUUGAAGAGGAAAGGGUGAUGCAGUAAAGUAGCGUAAGUAUUCCCCUCAGUUUUUGAGAACCAAGGUAUCAAUCCAGUAGGAGAUCACGCUCGAGUCCCACGCACCUACACAACCAAAUAAGAACCUCGCAACCAACGCGAUAAAGGGGUUGUCAAUCCCUUCACGGUCACUUACGAGAGUGAGAUCUGAUAGAUAUGGUAAGAUAAUAUUUUGGUAUUUUUAUGAUAAAGAGAAAUAAAGAUGCAAAGAAAAAUAAACGGCAAUAGAAAUAACUAAGUAUCACCUGGGCGCACCCCCUGCCUCGUGGGCCCCCUGACGCUCCACCAACCUCAACCCUGACUUCAUAUAUUCACUUUCGGGGAGAAAAAACCAGAGAGAAAGAUUCAUCACAUUUUACGAUACGGAGCCGCCGCCAAGCCCUAAACUCUCUCGGGAGGGCUGAUCUGGAGUCCGUUCGGGGCUCCGAAGAGGGGAAUCCAUCGCCAUCAUCAUCAUCAACCUUCCUCCAUCACCAAUUUCAUGAUGCUCACCGUCGUGCGUGCAUAAUUCCAUCGUAGGCUUGCUGGACGGUGAUGGGUUGGAUGAGAUUUAUCAUGUAAUCGAGUUAGUUUUGUUAGGGUUUGAUCCCUAGUAUCCACUAUGUUCUGAGAUUGAUGUUGCUAUGACUUUGCUAUGCUUAAUGCUUGUCACUAGGGCCCGAGUGCCAUGAUUUCAGAUCUGAACCUAUUAUGUUAUCAUCAAUAUAUGAGCGUUCUUGAUCCUAUCUUGCAAGUCUAUAGUCACCUACUAUGUGUUAUGAUCCGGCAACCCCGAAGUGACAAUAAUCGGGACCACUCCUGGUGAUGACCGUAGUUUGAGGAGUUCAUGUAUUCACUAUGUGUUAAUGCUUUGGUCCGGUACUCUAUUAAAAGGAGGCCUUAAUAUCCCUUAGUUUCUGCUAGGACCCCGCUUCCACGGGAGGGUAGGACAAAAGAUGUCAUGCAAGUUCUUUUCCAUAAGCACGUAUGACUAUAUUCGGAAUACAUGCCUACAUUACAUUAAUGAAUUGGAGCUAGUUCUAUGUCACCCUAGGUUAUGAUUGUUACAUGAUGAACCGCAUCCGACAUAAUUCUCUAUCACUGAUCCAUUGCCUACGAGCUUUCCAUAUAUUGUUCUUCGCUUAUUUACUUUUCCAUUGCUAUUGCUAUCAUCACUACAAAAUACCAAAAACAUUACUUUUGCUAUCGUUACCUUUUGCUGCCGUUACCACUACUAUCAUAUUACUUUGCUACUAAACACUUUGCUGCAGAUAUUAAGUUUCCAGGUGUGGUUGAAUUGACAAGUCAGCUGCUAAUAGUUGAGAAUAUUCUUUGGCUCCCCUUGUGUUGAAUCAAUAAAUUUGGGUUGAAUACUCUACCCUUGAAAACUGUUGCGAUCCCCUAUACUUGUGGGUUAUCAUUGCUCCUGCAGCGGGUCUUGCACAUAGCGGUGCUUCCAGGACGUAAUUCUUCUGUGUAGCAAUGAGGAUAAUCCUCAAGUUACGGACCUAGUCCAUGUAGUUGCUACCAUCAUCUUUCAACUUAGGUUUCUCUACGAACGCAUUAAAAUUCAAAGGGACAUUAGCACGGGCCAUUGAUCUACAACAACAUAGACAUGCAAACUACUAUCAGGUGCUAAGUUCAUGAUAAAUUAAAGUUCAAUUAAUCAUAUUACUUAAGAACUCCCACUUAGAUAGACAUCCCUCUAGUCAUCUAAAUGAUCACGUGAUCCAUAUCAACUAAACCAUGUCCGAUCAUCUCGUGAGAUGGAGUAGUUUCAAUGGUGAACAUCACUAUGUUGAUCAUAUCUACUAUAUGAUUCACGCUCGACCUUUCGGUCUCAGUGUUCCGAGGCCAUAUCUGCAUAUGCUAGGCUCGUCAAGUUUAACCCGAGUAUUCUGCGUGUGCAAAACUGGCUUGCACCCGUUGUAUGUGAACGUAGAGCUUAUCACACCCGGUUAUCACGUGGUGUCUCGGCACGACGAACUAUAGCAAUGGUGCAUACUCAGAGAGAACACUUGUACCUUGAAAUUUAGUGAGAGAUCAUCUUAUAAUGCUACCGCCGUACUAAGCAAAAUAAGAUGCAUAAAGGAUAAACAUCACAUGCAAUCAAAAUAAGUGAUAUGAUAUGGCCAUCAUCAUCUUGUGCCUUUGAUCUCCAUCUCCAAAGAACCGUUAUGAUCACCAUCAUCACCGGCUUGACACCUUGAUCUCCAUCGUAGCAUCGUUGUCAUCUCGCCAACUAUUGCUUCUACGACUAUCGCUACCACUUAGUGAUAACGUAAAGCAAUUACAUGGCGAUUGCAUUUCAUACAAUAAAGCGACAACCAUAAGGCUCCUGCCAGUUGCCGAUAACUUUUACAAAACAUGAUCAUCUCAUACAACAACUUAUAUAUCAUCACGCAAAAACAAGUUAGACGUCCUCUACUUUGUUGUUGCAAGUUUUACGUGGCUGCUACAGGCUUCUAGCAAGAACCGUUCUUAUCUACGCAUCAAAACCACAAUGAUUUUUCAUCAAGUGUGUUGUUUUAACCUUCAACAAGGACCGGGCGUAGUCAAACUCGAUUCAACUAAAGUUGGAGAAACAGACACCCAGUAGCCACCUGUGUGUGAAGCACCUCGAUGGAACCAGUCUCAUGAACGCGGUCAUGUAAUGUCGGCCUGAGCUGCUUCAUCCAACAAUACCGCCAAAUCAAAGUAAGACGUUGCUGGUAAGAAGUAUGACUAUUAUCGUCCACAACUCAUUGUGUUCUACUCGUGCAUAUAACAUCUACGCAUAGACCUGGCUCGGAUGUCAUUGUUGGGGAACGUAGUAUUUCAAAAAAAAUCAUACGAUCACGCAAGAUAUAUCUAGGAGAAGCAUAGCAAUGAGCGGGGAGAGUGUGUUCACGUACCCUCGUAGACCGAAAGCGGAAGCGUUUAGUAACACGGUUGAUGUAGUCGAACGUCUUUGCGAUCCAAUCGAUCCAAACACCAAACGUACGACACCUCCGCGUUCAGCACACGUUCAGCUUGAUGACAUCCCUCGAGCUCUUGAUCCAGUUGAGGCCGAGGGAUAGUUCCGUCAGCACGAUGGCGUGGCGACGGUGAUGAUGAAGUUACCGGCGCAGGGCUUCGCCUAAGAACUACGACGAUAUGACCGAGGUGUGUAACUGUGGAGGGGGGCAACGCCCACGGCUAAGAGAAACUUGUGUCUUUGGGGUGCCCCCCUCCCACGUAUAUAAAUGGGGGGAGGAGGCCGGCCCAAAGGGGGGCGCGCCACAUGUUGGGGGUCCUACUAGGACUCCCUAGUCCUAGUAGGAUUCCCCUCUCCUUUCCUUUUACGGAAGGGGGAAAGGGGGGAAGGAGAGGAGGGGAAGAGGGAAAGGGGGCACGCCCCCUCCCCUUCCUAUUCGGACUCCACUUGGGGGGACGCGCACGCCUCCCCCUUGUGGGUUGUACCCUCUUCUCUCCCAUGGCCCAUAAGGCCCAUGAUUUCCCCCGGGGGGUUCCGGUAACCUCCCGGUACUCCAGAAAAAUGCUCGAAUCACUCGGAAUCAUUCUGAUGUUUGAAUGCAACCUUCCAAUAUAUGAAUCUUUACCUCUCGACCAUUUCUGUGAUCUCAUCCGGGACUCCGGACAAACUUCAGUCAUCAAAUCACAUAACUCAUAAUACAAAUUGGCACGAACGUUAAGCAUGCGGACCCUAUGGGUUUGAGAACUAUGUAGACAUGACUGAGACACAUCUCCGGUCAUUAACCAAUAGCGGAACCUGGAUGCUCAUAUUGGCUCCUACAUAUUCUACGAAGAUCUUUAUCGGUCAAACCGCAUAACAACAUACGUAGUUCCCUUUGUCAUAUGUAUGUUAUUUGCCCGAGAUCCGAUCGUCGGUAUCCCCAUACCUAGUUCAAUCUCGUUACCGUCAAGUAUCUUUACUUGUUCCGUAAUGCAUCAUCAUGUAACUAACUCAUUAGUCACAUUGCUUGCAAGGCUUAUAGUGAUGUGCAUUACCGAGAGGGCUUAGAGAUACCUCUCUGAUACACGAAGUGGCAAAUCCUAAUCUCGAUCUAUGCCAACUCAACAAACACCAUCAGAGACACCUGUAGAGCAUCUUUAUAAUCACCCAGUUACAUUGUGACGUUUGAUAGCACACUAAGUGUUCCUCCGGUAUUCGGGAGUUGCAUAAUCUCAUAGUCAUAGGAACAUGUAUAAGUCAUAAAGAAAGCAAUAGCAAUAAAAUUAAACGAUCAUUAUGCUAAGAUAACGGAUGGGUCUUGUCCAUCACAUCAUUCUCUAAUGAUGUGAUCCCGUUCAUCAAAUGACAACACAUGUCUAUGGUUAGGAAACUUAACCAUCUUUGAUUAACGAGCUAGUCUAGUAGAGGCAUACUAGGGACACUCUGUUUGUCUAUGUAUUCACACAUGUACUAAGUUUCUGGUUAAUACAAUUCUAGCAUGAAUAACAAAGAUUUAUCAUGAUAUAAGGAAAUAUAAAUAACAACUUUAUUAUUGCCUCUAGGGCAUAUUUCCUUCAGGAAGAGCAUCGCGGGUGGGAGGGAGAAGGGGAAUUAAGAGAGUGUGGGUUUGGGUUUGGGCCUCCGCGUGCUAUGUGUACACAUGUGUUGGUGGGUCGAUAGUAGUGGUCCUGGGUUUAUACCCCACGCUACUACUAUGGCCUAUCCCGGGGGUACGGUAGAGACCGCUUAGUAGUAGCGAGGGAUUUAUACCCCUCACUACUACUAUCAACUUAGUAGUAGUGAGGGAUUUAUACCCCUCGCUACUACUAUCAACUUAGUAGUAGUGAGGGAUUUAUACCCCUCGAUACUACUAUGGCCAGUCCCGGGGGGCACGGUGGAGACCACUUAGUAGUAGUGUGGGGUUUAUACCCCUCGCUACUACUAUCAACUUAGUAGUAGUGUGGGUUCUAUACCCCUCGCUACCAAUAAUUAGCAGCAGUGUGGCCCAUAUACCCCUCGCUACGGUUAAGCAUCUAUCUAUAAAGUAUUUUCUAGUAGUGCAUCGAUGGCGGCGAAAUCAGUCGUUCUGCUUGUUUUCCCUACUAGCUCUCUGACGUCCAGAACAAGUUUACGGUCAUAAGGUGCAAUAACCUUGCCUUCAUGAGUGACACGAUGACACGGGAACAGGCUUCCAAGCCUAUGGUGUCGCAUCAUGUCGUGGUCUGCUAGACUUAGUGGACGAAUGCUACUACAAUAUCGGUUGAUCUCAUACUACAAUACCAAGGAAGACACGCAACUACUAUAUAUAUUUCUUCAAGUCAGUCAACACAAGUAAAAUCUGGGAGUUCAACUGGUGCAGCUAUGCAAUGCUAAUGGAGACAACACAAUUCAACUUUAGCACUUCACACAUAAGCAACACCACGUUCAAUGGCACACACCUUAGAGUGUACCUAUGGUGGUUGAUUGGGCUAUAAGAAAUGUGAGUCCAUGUGAAGAUGCCAAAUAUAAUAACACGGCUAAUUACACAUGCAGUGGCAGCAGCAACAAGUGCAUGAAUUCCACAAAUGAUCUAGGGUACACAUGCAACUGUGUCCUUGAGUAUGACAACAACCCUUAUCUUCUAGACAAAUGCAUGGUAUGCUACUAAUUUAUUUGCUAAAUAUUCCAAUGAAUUGUGUCCUUUACUUUGUACAUACCCAAUUAUAAUAUUUUAUUUUGCUAAUACAAUGUAGCCUUCAAUUUAAACCAAGGUUUGCAUCCAUUAAUUAUGUUAGGUUCAUAUGACUUCACUACAUAAAUAGGUAGAUAAUGCAUAAGACUGAGAUUGUAGCUAGGGAUGAAAAUCUAAAUACGGCAUGAAUCUAACAAUUAUGAGUAAUGUCUUUGUGACAAGAACUUUCUUUGUCUUUUAUUCCCAUGUUUGAACUAGUAUAGGUCAGGGUUACACAUUAUGGUGCACAUCACUUUAUUUGUCAUCGUUACAUUGAACACUCAUUGACUAAACAACGAUGAUCCAUCCGUCUUGUAUUACAGGUCUUCAUUUCAUUGGCCACCGAUGCUUGUAAGACUACUCCCAGAUGGUUGUUGUUGUGGAUAUGGUUGUUGAGGUUGGUGUGGUUGCUGGGGGAAUGGUUGUUGGGGUUGCUGGGAAAUUGUUUGUUCUAGUUGCUGGGAUAAUUGUUGUUGGGGCUGCAGAAAUGGUUGUUGUGGUUGUUGUGGUUGCAGGAUGGAGGGUUGCUGGGAAAAUGGUUGUUGCGGUCGUAGGGGGAAUGGUUGUUGUGGUUGUAGAGGGAAAGGUUGUUGUGGUUGUUGAGGGAAUGGUUGUUGUGGUUGUUGGGGGAAUGAUUGUUGUGGUUGCAGGGGGAAUGGUUGUUGUGGUUGCUGGGGGAANNNNNNNNNNNNNNNNNNNNNNNNNNNNNNNNNNNNNNNNNNNNNNNNNNNNNNNNNNNNNNNNNNNNNNNNNNNNNNNNNNNNNNNNNNNNNNNNNNNNNNNNNNNNNNNNNNNNNNNNNNNNNNNNNNNNNNNNNNNNNNNNNNNNNNNNNNNNNNNNNNNNNNNNNNNNNNNNNNNNNNNNNNNNNNNNNNNNNNNNNNNNNNNNNNNNNNNNNNNNNNNNNNNNNNNNNNNNNNNNNNNNNNNNNNNNNNNNNNNNNNNNNNNNNNNNNNNNNNNNNNNNNNNNNNNNNNNNNNNNNNNNNNNNNNNNNNNNNNNNNNNNNNNNNNNNNNNNNNNNNNNNNNNNNNNNNNNNNNNNNNNNNNNNNNNNNNNNNNNNNNNNNNNNNNNNNNNNNNNNNNNNNNNNNNNNNNNNNNNUGGUUGCAGAGGGAACGAUUGUUGGGUCUGGGGAAAUGGUUGUUGUGGUUGCCAGGAAAAUGGUUGUUGGGGCUGUGGAAAAGGUUGUUGUGGUUGUUGGGGUUGCUGGGGGAAUGGUUGUUGUGGUUGUAAGGGGGUCGGUUGUUGGGGUUGGGGAAAUAAUUGUUGUGAUUGCUGGGGAAAUUGUUGUUGGGGUGUGGAAAAUGGUUGUUGUGAUGGAUAUGGUUGCUGUGAUGGAUAUGGUUGUUGUGGAUAUGGCUGUUGUGGAAAUAGUUUUUGUUGAUGGGAAAAUGAUUGUUGAGGUGAUUGUAACUCUUUGUUGUUAGGGUUUAGUUGCCUAGCGGCAAUGGCGGUGUUCAUCGCCAUGGCAAGGAGGACAAAGAUGAGGAAGGUCUUCAUGUUGGAUUUGUGGUUACUACUGCUUGCUUGCCUUUGAUGCUUGUGGUCUAGGUGUGUGAAGUUUUGUUGAUGGAAGGUGUCCUUGGUGGUGCAUGUGUAUUUAUAGUUUUCAUGGCAUGGCUUGCUUUCAUCUUUGCACUCGCUCUUUGAAAAAGUGCAUCAAUGCUUAUCCAACUAAUCAUUUGGUUUGUUGUGUUUGGUGCAACUACUUACUAGUGAGAUUUUGGAUUUUCAUGAUAGUUGUUUUUUGUUGAAAUCAUCUGGUUGUAAGGAAUGUUGGAUAAUGACCAAUGACUCAUCUUCUUCACUUUACACUGCAAACAUUGAUCUAGAUUAUGUCCCUUUUUGAAAUUUAGUUUGUGGAGCUCUACAUGUUGUUAGGCUUAUCCAUAUUGGCAUAGCUUGAGUGGAGCUAAGUUUGUAAGCUUGUGUGCGCCAUUAUGAUGGAUCACACUAUUAAUGUGAUGAUUGUUUUACAAAUUAUCUUUCCAAAACUAACUUUAUGUUUUUUGCCCAAUAUGAUUCUAAGACGGAUAACCAGACAUGACUCAUCAAAUAACAAGAUAAACCGAGUAGCAAGUUGGGGGUUAUAAGUUAUAAUAUGGACUUUUCUCUAAGAUACACCAUCUUGUCUUGCAUGCUCUGUGGAUUUGAAAAGCAUCUACUAAUUUAGAUGCAAUUGAAACAAAAGUAGACUAAAAAGGUAAGCAAUGAAAUGAGAAUACUAUUAUGUGAAGCUCUACAUGUCUGGUAAGCAGUGAGAUACUGGAUACAUCUAUAUCUUCAAUCCUUUCAUCCCUAUCAACUCUUUAUUGGCUGCUUUUAUCGUAGUCAUCCCUUAAAUAAAAAUCACUUAAAUAUAAGUUUGGGAGUUAGUACCAACAUAUAUCAUGUACAAGAUAGAAAACUAAGGCACAUAUAGUAGUCUAUUGACCAUAUUUAAUUUCUUGUGAUGUGAAAGCAUGUGGAGUAUAAGUUGGUUAAAUAUAAAGUUGUCCUUCAUACCAGUAGGGAAAGAAUAUGCAGUAUAAAGAUUAGAGCAUUGGACUAAUAUGCUAUUAAAUGCUACAGGAUAAUUGACAGUUCAAGUUAAGAACAACAUUAGCAUUCCAACUUUUGUCUUGUGCAAGUUAAGAACAUGCUAACAAAGUAACCUAAGCAAAUAAGUGCAAAACCUUCACCUAUAAGGAAAUUGUGAAACUACACAAAAUGACCUAUUGUAAAGAAGGAAAAAAAUCUAAAGGUGAAUGAAAGAACGUUAAGUACAUUCAGGAUUCGAUUAUGCCUUCAUGGAUAACCUUUUAGAUGGUGACAUGUCCAUGUUGAUGUGUGUCGGCAUGGAACGAGGACAAGAAGACGUCGUUGCGUCGUACUUUGGGAAUUUCAUCAAACUGGUUGUGUGCGGGAACAAAUAUUUGUCGCCUCCCUGCUCAAAUCUCUCUUCAUGUCACUGAAUCCGACACUCCACCUACCAAAAUCAGCUGCAAGCCAGGGAUAAUCAACGGGUUUCUCCGCCCGUAGCAUCUAUCACCAAAAGUAGUUCAGACUAUAGUCUUGUAGUUCAAAAUUUUGUAAUAACAAGCACUACUAGGUUGCUUUUGUUUGUACGUCUUCAUUCUGUACAACCCAUGGAACUAAAAAUGCAUUGGUCAUUCUUUGUUCUAUACAACCAAUUCAACCAAAAAUGCAUUGGGCUUUUCUUUGUACAUCUUCGGGUUCUACAACCAAUGCAACAAAAAAUCCAUUGGGUAGUCUUCCAUUCUAGUCGGGCACCAACAGUUAAAUGAGGAGCUAAACAAUGUUGGAGUCUAAAACUACAUACAAUCAUGAAGCAUAGAGAGGCGACUUGGAAGCUGUGCUCCUGUGAGCUCGUAUUUUUGUAGACAAAAAGUAAUGUUUGUAUUUUGAAGUGGGAAAAAAUCCUAAAAAGGGAUGUUUUGCGGGUUAUAACUUACUAUUUUUGGGUCCUGGGCUGCAGGAAGGUCGUCAAAAUCAAUGUGUUUUCCCAUUCAAUGCAUGUUUCUUGGGUUAUAGGUCACGCUUUUGGUGUCCUAGGGAGAUCACUUCCCCGGUCAAGAACAUUAGGUGAUGAUUUUUAGAAAAACUCAUUGUUUUAGCCUAACUAGUUUCGAGGAUUGGUGGACGGGAUUAUCAUGGAACAAAGUGACAACCUUCCUUUUCUUCAUGCCUAAUAUAAACUUAGCAGUCAGCUAAAAGUAACUAGCGAUAUCACAGAAUGUUUUUUGUCAAAAGUAGAUACCACUUCAGGAUUCAACUCGGUUAGUUCAAUCACAGACAUGUUAAGAGCAGGAUUUACAACUAACUGCAUAGGGAACAUCUCCUUUUAUCACCCACUAUCUGUCUGUGCACUUUGGUUUUCCCGUAGCAUCACACAAAGCACUUUGUUAGUACCAAUAAUGUGCUCCAACUCUACACAUUAAUCAUCUUGAAUUCUUCUACUGAUGUCGAACAAUGUAAUAUCUUGAAUUCUUCUAACGAGUUCGGAUUAGACUACAUGGGCAAUUUAUCUGGUCCCUGAGAUGCAAGGUCGAUGAACAAUCGCUUCGUCUUAUGACGAGGGGUUGUUUUUGCCUAAGAAACUAAUACAUGUAACUUCGACACCGGAUUAAUAAAUGGUAAAACCUAAAUAAAUUAGAUCACGAGCUAAACCAUUUACUUUUGUAUGCAUUUAAACUUUUGAUACAUAUGAGCUUGUUAAGAUGUUCGCAUAAACACCAUGGUGAUUUGAAGCAAGACAAAGUAAACUUGAACCGCUUGAGCCACUGACUUAAUAAGAACCUCCUUUCCCGCGGCAGAGAUUGUUUUUAAUACAUCCACUCACUUUGGCCCAUAGUUUGUCUUUGAGAUACUUAAAAGCACUAGACAUAGAAUUGACAAUAUUAGAAGGCAAGCCCAAAUAUUUCACAUUUAGUGUUUCUACUUGGACACUGAGACCACCUUUGACCUCAUUUUUGACAUUCUCUCUGCAAUCCUUGCUGAGAAACACUGAAGGCUUCCUAUUUAUUUAUUCUUGACCUAAAGCUUCAUUGCGUCUUGCCUUGGUCUUGCACUACUUGCGGCACAAUACGCCUUUGGAACUGCCGUUCCGAAUUCAGAGUGCCGAAGGUGGUGUGACGAUGUUGAGAUACCGUACUCGUUCGGUAGUGAUUCGGGUUGAUCAUUCAGAGUAGACUUUGACAAUAGCUGCAAGGACAAGAUUGCAUUAGGGAGCCUUUUAAUUACACCUCGGAGGUGCUCAGCAUCUUCUUGAUGAACAACAUGGUCCUAGUGUUGAAUAAUAUCAUAUGGGGUAGUGCUACAACAACUCCACCACAAGCAUGGAGGAAUUUAGCAAAUUCCAUCAGUACUAGGAGAAAGCCUAGUAGCAACGCGAGGUAAAGGACUACUAGUAGCGCGGGUGCCCACGCUACUACUAGGGUGCUACAGCUAAUUGGUAGUAGUAGCGUGGGUGACACCCUGCGCUACUACCACGUCUGUUAGUAUAGUAGCGCGAGUGUCACCCGCACUACUACUAGUUAUCUGUAGCCCGGGUCUGACCCCACGCUACUACUAACUAAUUAGGAAUUAAAAAAAUAAAUUCCAUCCAUGGUUGCUGCUGCUGGGCGUCAUCGUCCUCUCCGUCCAUGGCUGAUGUUGGUCCUGGAGGGGAUGACGUCGUCCAUGGUGAUGGUACUUCCUCACCCAAAUCGUCCCCACACCUCUCCUAUGCUACUGCUACAAAAUAAGAGAAAACGAUUAGAAGAGGAAGAGAGAUAUUGAGAGGAGUAGGAGGAGCAACUGACCGGUGGCCGCCGGAGUUGGAGCUGAUGCCCGAAACCCUAGACGAUGCCCGGUGACCUGUUGCUUCUUUUCCUGGGACCUCAUGUCCUCACAAGGCCAUGUCUCAGCGAGGAAGUGCAAGUGGUUGCGUAGCAGAUCUGUUCAUCGCCAUUGGUGGCGCUCUGUUGGAUCUUCCUCUCCUUCCAGCAUCGGAGAAGGAGGAGGAAGGAGGCGAAGGUGAGGCGUAAGUCAGUGGCCCAAAAUUUUUAUAUAGAUGAGACUUACUAAGUAAUAACCCCAUAGAAUCUAUCUAUAUAAAGAUAAAGAGGCAAUCGUGUCAGGAAGCGGGUUUUUCUUUGGCCAAAAGGUACUUAGAACUUGGAACGAGCAUGAAGAGAUUAACGAGACUUCUUUCUCUUUUGAGUUUUUCUGGCGGACCUGCCGCGCAAGAUCUUUGGUCUUCCCCUGGAACCGAUGAAAAAAAGUGGAUUGCUUCUUAUGUACUCGCUCAGCUUAAGAUGCUCGCAUAAUCCCCGUGGUAAUUUGAAGCAAUACAUAGAGUAAACUAGAACUGCUUGAGCCACUAACUUAAUGAGAACCUCCUUUCCCGUAGGAUAUAUCAUUUUUUCAAUCCAUCCAUUCACUUUGGCCCAUAGUAUGUCUUUGAGAUACUUAAAAGCAGUAGAUUAGAAUUACCAAUAUCAUAAGGCAAGCCCAAAUAUUUCUCAUUUAGUGUUUCUGUUGGACACUGAGAACACCUUUGACCUCAUAUCUAACAUUCUCUACACAACCCUUGCUGAGAAACACUGAAGACUUGCUAUUAUUUAUUCUUUGACCUGAAACUUGGCAAUAGGUUUGACACAUCUGUCGCCCCUGAACCAUUUGCCUUGAAAAACAGCAGGCUGUCAUCUGCAAAUAACAAGUGGUUAACUGAUGCCACCAAAGGAGCUACUUGGAUUCCAGUAAACUGGGAUGACUAGUCUCUAGAUUUGAGGAGGCCCGAAAGGCCAUGUACUGCUAACAGGAAAAUCAAGGUGAAUUGGAUCUUGCUGCCGUAUACCACGGGUAGGUUUGAGCUCAUCAAGUUUCUUGCUCUUGAAUAAAAUUGAAUAAGAUACAGAAGCUACCAUGCUCAUUUCUAUGGAGGCCCAUUUAACAGAGAAUCCAAAGUUGAGAUUUAUCACCUCCAAAUACGCCCAUUCAACUAGAUUAUAAGCCUUCAUCAUAUCCAAUUUUAGAGUACAAUGGUGAUGUUACAAUGACUUAUUCCUUUUCAUGAAAUGUAAGCACUCGUAGGCCACGAUUAUAUUGUCAGUGAUAAGGCGACCCGGAACAGAAGCCGACUCUUCACUCAAUAUUAUCUCCGGAAGGGCCCCUUUUAGCCGGUUAGCCAGAACUUUGGGUGUUAUUUGUAAAGUUGCAUAGGCUAAUACGACAGAACUGGCUUAGGAAAGUACCAUUUUGUACCUCAUCACUAUCCUCGCCACAAUACAAAGGACAACCAUUGUUACCUCCUCGCCGCAAAUAUCCCAAUGUUUCUCAAAGAAAUGUUCAAAGAAUCCGUCCGGGCCCAAGGCCUUCAUGCGGAACAUUUGAAACAAUACAAUUUAAACCUUGUUGUAGAAUACUUAGCGUCAAGGAAGGCAUUCAUCGCAUCACUGACCUUUACUGGAACCAAGUCAGGAAAUCAUGCAUAUUAGAAACAGUCUCAGAAGUGAAAAGCUCCGAGUAAAACUAUGUUGUGAUCUCUUCCAAUUCCUUAAGAACACUGAUAACAUCACAUUAGGUUGCUACAAUGAUUUGGUCAAAUUAUUCCGCCUUCUCAUCGAAGCCCUUAAGUGAAAGAAGCAUGUGGUCUUGUCCCCACUAAUCAGCCACUUAAUCUGAGAUCUAGUAGGCAAGAUGAGUGACGGGAAGUAGUUCGGAACAAUUUCCUCUUAUUCACUUCUAAAACAAAUUUUCGGUUUUUGUCGUUCCUAAGCCAAGGAUUUGAUAAAUAUUCAUAAAUUUUUAAAAUGUUCACCAAUAUUAAAAACAUCAUGAUUUUAAAAAACCGUGAUUUUUAAACAAAAUCAUAAAUAUGAAAAUUGCCAUUCACAAAAUUUUAAAAUAAAAUCAUGAAUUUUAAAAGAAUUUUCAAAAUUUUGAUAAAUAUCUACGAAUUUUACAACUUUGAUGAAUUUUAAAAACAAACCAUAACAAAAAAACACUAGCAAGUUCGAUCCUAAAAAAUGCCUUGCCUUCUACUAUGCGUAGCGUGCAUGGACAGCCGGACCUAGACACCCUAGACCAAAAACCCUACAUCUGGGCCAGGCCCGAGCUCCAUUUUUUGGCCCAAAGCCCAGCCCAAAAAGGCAGAAAUGGUAAGAAAUGUAUACUUUAUUCAAAAUAUAGGUAUAUUAUAUUGUUUUAGUAUCUCAAAUAAUUAUUUAAAUUGAAAAAUGUCGUUGUUCAUGUGUUUCUGGACGGGCCAAGCCAGGCUCAUGCUUGGGAUUUUUGCUUCGGGCUUUGACAACCUGGCCCGGGGUAUGAUCAAGUUCAGCAUGGCCCAGUCACACACCCUUGUACAACAUUUUGUUGUAGAGAGCGGCAAAUAUAAUUUUCCCGAUCUAAUAUUGCUCGCUAUAAGUCUAUAUCUAUACUUUUUUCUAUACCCAUACUAAUAAAGCAAGGUGCGUUUCCCCAAUUUUUUCAUUCAUUCACUGUCGAAAACAAUUAUGUUUCCUAUCCGAGGUGGUCCUAAAUUCUUAUGCGUUCAUCUGCUAAAAGAAAGGCUUUUCCGGAAUUUCUUACGUGGGUUGCGCGCUAUGGCCAGUGAAGUCAGCCCACUUAUUUUUCUGCCCAUGCAGCUCUAAAAAAUCUAUUUAACACACAGGGCAAGAAAUAGUCGGCACUUCAAACUGGAAAACAAAUAAUGGGCUAGCCAAUUUUUCUUUGUUUCUGUGUUUUAUUUCUAUUUUUAUUCUCCUUCCCCGAUUUCUUUUUUCACUUCCAAGUUUACAUUUCUUAUAGAAUUUAUUUUAUAAAUUCAAAAUUCUCAAAAAACAUAGAGAAUUUUAAAAAAAUGGAAAAUGUUCAUAACUCCAAUUUUUUUGCUAUUUAAAUUUUUUUCAGAACUUGAAUUUUUUCCCUUUUUCCGAAAAUUUUAUUGUUUUUUAAAAUUGUUAGAGAUUUCUAAAAAGAAAAUGGAAAUUUAAAAAGUCUUCCAAAUUCGAAAAAAAAUCAUGUUUUAGUGAAAUUUUCACAACUCAAAUUAUUCUUAAAAAAUACACAUUUUAAAAAGUAAGGAUUUUCAAUACAUGUUCCCGUUCUAAAAAAAUGUUGACAAAUUCAAAUAAUGUUCAUGUUUUUAUUUUAAAAGUUCGUGUUUUCAAAAAUGUUUGUAAAUUCUAAAAGAUGUUCCUAUUUCAUAUUUUGUUCAUGUUUUUCUGAAAGUGUACCUAAUUUUCAAAAAACUGUUCAGGAUUUAAAAAAUGGUUCAUGUUGCCUACAAUAUUGAGAAACUUCAUACCUUAAAAUCUCCUCGAUUGAAGGAACCAUAGAUUGAAUAAUUCAUGGGCCUUCUCUGGUGGACGAUGACGUAGCAAAACUCUUAAAUGCCCUCAAUCAAUGAAUGGAAAAAUAGCGAAUUGAGUACUUCACACCCAGCGAAACAAAGAAGCUAAAUGUUCCCUUUUUACGUGCGCACAGGGUUUUGCUUGCACAAAUAAUUCUCACUAACUUCCAAUGCAUACUAAUUUUUCUCCCAUUGCGAAGCACAAGCAUAUGUGCUAGUUUUAUCCACGGUGGUACUAAAUUUUUUUGAGUCCAUCUGCUAGAAAAAGGAAAAACAGUUUUGUCAAAAUUUUCGUACAUGGGCCGCGCGCGCUGUGGCCCAGCGAAGCUGGCCCAUUUAUUUCCGGCCGAAGCAGCUGAGAAUAAUUAUUUAACGCUUGGGGCGGCAAAUAGACAAAGUUUCGCAUAGGGCGCCAAAUAUUUGGUCGGCCCAUAUUUGUUUUCUCUCUAGUUUGUUUCUUUUUUUAUUUUCCUUUCUCCUUUUCUUAUCUCUUUACUUUUUCUUUUUUCCCUUUCAAGUUAAUUUUUCUUUUCUCCUUUUCCAUAAAUUAAAUUUUUCAAUAUUUCAGAAUUUUAGUUUUGGAUUAAAUUUUCGUAAAAUCUUCAUAAUUAUUUCUCCCCAUUUUGAAUUGUUUUUAAACUAUAAUUUUUUCUUCUUCUUCUUCCAAAAUUUAUUCAAAACUAUAGAAUAAAGUUCGCAUAUUAAUUUUUUUAUGCUUUCCAAAAUUGUUUGAUAUUUUCAAAAUAUAUUGCAUUAAAAAAUUAAAUAUUUAGAUUUUAUUGAAAUGUUAAUUCAAAGUAAUGUUUGUGUUUAAAAACAUGUUUUUCAAAAUUCUUUUCAAUGUCCAAAACACGUUUUCAUUUCCAAAAAAAAUCACGUAUUCAAAACAUGUUUGCUUUCUUAUAAUAGGUUCAUGUUUUCAAAAAACAUAAAUUUCAAAAAAAUUGUCACAUCUUAAAGAAUAUUCAAAAUAUCGUAAUUAUUACUUUAUUUUUUGAAAAAAAUCAAGAAAAACAGAAAAAAAAAUGUAUAUUAUGCUACAGUAUAUUCUUAAAAUUUCGCCCUCGCCAUUUGUUAGCAUGAGCUGUUUGUUCGAGUGGCUAGCAGCACGUGGUCGAGUUUUUGAGGUCAUGAGUUUGAUCCUUCAACUCAGUGGUUGUUUUGGAUUUUUAUUCACGCCUUACAAAUACAAGUCAUUUUGGUACCUGCCAGCGGCCUUGCCAGACUCGAACUGCCGUGCAUCCGACGUGCUAUUUGACGAUAAAAGAGAAUAUGUUGCUUGACUAUAAUUAAAAAAAUGUGGGCACAUGCCAAUAAAAGAGGAUAUGCUGGUUUGACUCUGAUUAAAAAAAUGUUGGCAAGUGAGCGUCGAAAUAAUUAAAGAGAAUAAACCCUGGUAAAGUAGGGACUACCUGGUUACGUGCUUAUUAUACCAAAGAAACGGGAUUUCCUGCAAUUAGUACUUCAACCGGUUACACCAUCAUAGGAGAGAGUAGUCGAAGCAACUAUGCCACGAAGGUCGCCGUGCUGCACAAAAUGAGGAGGCAACCGCAACCUAGACACGGAGGCAGACUCGGAGAAAAAAAAGCGCAAGUUGGGUGGUGGCCACCACUCCAGCAACCCCAUCAAUAUCAAGAACUCGUGGGCCAAACAUGAUCUCAAGAACAUCGCCGGGGAGACCUUUUGAUGGACACAUCAAUUAUCUCUCCUGAUACUUCUCGUUAAAAAUAUCUUUCUAGUUCUAACGCACGGGCAUAUGUGCUAGUGAUAUAUAAAAUAUGUUGUGCCAAUGAGCACACGGGCUAGCGAGACUCGCCAUGCUUUCAUGUCAUACCGGAGUCCAAACACUCAACUGGAGGGUCCAACCUUAGCGACAGAGUCUUCUUUUGUUGGGAGAAUCUAUAUAUCCGCGAGUGUUAUAUCUCGCAUCUGGUUUACGCGCAGUGCACCUAACCACUAGGCUUUGCCUUACAUUCAUGACAGAGUAGUAAAGCUAGAUUGUUUAAGUCCACACGAGUCAAGGUUUUCAAUGUUUCUUCUCCAUUUUUUUUCAUUUUUUCAUUUUUGUUUUUAUAUUUAUUUCUGUCGGGUUUGUUUGAUCCCUUUCGAGGGCAUAAUAGAGGAACCACACCGUGGUGAUGUGGAUGGGUUUAUAGAUACCAUCACUGUAGGGGAAACGAGGAAGGUUUUCGAUGCACGAAUCACUAGCAUACAUUUUCAUGUUUUACGCUAAUUUGCAAUAUUUGCUAGUCGUUGCUUAAUUGGUUGCGGAAACUGUGGAAACCUUAGUGUUCCUGAUAUUAUUAUUUUGUUCCACGGUUUAUUCUGUGAUAACUCUAUUAGUAUGGGCGGUAUUAUUCCUAAAUGGUUAAGUCUGAACUGUACAAAGGGCCCCAUCUUUGGAGGCAUCUAUGCUUCACACCUAGCUGCGCAUUUUAACAUAGCUAUUAGGCAUUAUGAGAAGGAAGAAAAAUUGCUACCCCCUGUUUAUUUAGAUUAUAAUAGUAUGGUGGCACAUGAUUUUAUUGUUAAGAAUAAGGAAGGGGAGCUUAAAUACAAAUUGUUCUUUGAUAAACAUCAUCCUGAGACUAUUACCCUGCCUGCUCCUUCCUUGUUUGAUUUAUCUGCAGGCAAGUACCUCGUUCCAUUAGAGGCUAUUCACGCCUACCGAAACCCUACAUCAGCCAUAGAGCCAGAGUCGGAACCACAAGUUGAUUCUCCAUGACAGUCUAAUUACCAUUGGGAUCCAGAAAUGAUUGCCACCAGUGGCAAUCAGAGUCUUCUUCGCAGUACGACCCCAACUAUUACUAUGGAUAUCCGCCAGGCCAGCCGUGGCCAUAGACCAACUUAGGUCAAAAGCCUAAACUUGGGGGAGUACGUAUUUCCCGCCGACAUUACAUUCAUGUUCGCACACUCAUUGCUAGAUGUCGGUGCUCAUACUUUUUCAUUGUAUCAUCCAUACUAGUUCAUUUCCUUUUUAAGCUUUCUUCUUGUGUGUUUAAUAAACCUUAAGAAAAACCAAAAACAUUAGUUGUAGCUUUUAGCUAGUUUUAAUUUCCAUGCUCGUAGUAGUAAUUAAAAAGAAAACCCAAAAAAAAGAUUUCAUGUUCUUCUUUUGCUUGUUGGGAGCUUUCCCGUGUAAAUAGUUUUAUUUCUUUUCUUUUCUUUGGGGGUCGAUAGGAGAAGACCAUGAUUAAAUUGUUGAAGUGGCUCUUAUAUGUAUUUUUGUUGAUCUGACAAAAGAGCCCAUAUUGCCUCGACUUCUCCUGUUUAUUGAAUGCUUGCAGAUUCCAGCUUAGUCCAAUGCACGUGCACUAUUAUUAUUAUCCACAUCAUUCGGUCGUGCAAGUGAAAGGCAAUUAUGACGAUAUAUGAUGGACUGACUGAGAUGAGAAAAGCUGGUAUGAACUCAACCUGUCUUGUUUUUGUAAAUAUGAUUAGUUCAUCGUUCCUGAUUCAGCCUAUUAUGAAUAAACAUGUUUGCAAUGACAACUAGAGAUCAUAGUUUCUUGUGCCAUGCUUGAUUAGCUAGGAGCUUAUAAUGGUUUACCUUGCGUGCCAACAUGCUAUUAAAAUGGUUGUGAUGUGGUAUGAUAGGGUGGUAUCCUCCUCUGAACGAUUCGAGUGGCUUGACUUGGCACAUAUUCACGCAUGUAGUUGAAACAAAAUCAACAUAGCCUCUACGAUAUUUAUGUUCAUGGUGAAUUAUAUCCUACUCAUGCUUGCAUUCGGUGCUGAUUAAUUUUAAUGCAUGUUUAUGACUGUUGUCGCUCUCUAGCUGGUCGCUUCCCAGUCUUUUGCUAGCCUUCACCUAUACUAAGCGGGAAUACUACUUGUGCAUCCAAUCCCAUAAACCCCAAAGUUAUUCCAUAUGAGUCCACCAUACCUACCUAUUUACGGUAUCUACCUGCCGUUGCAAGUAAAUUUGUAUGUGCCAAACUCUAAACCUUCAAAUAAAUAUCAUGUUUUGUAUGCUCGAAUAGCUCAUGUAUCAACUAGGUUUGUCUGUAUCUUUCAUGUUAGGCGGGUUAUUCUCAAGAGGAGUGGACUCCGCUCCUCACUCGCGAGAAAAUGGCUGGUCACCCGGAUGCCUAGUCCCAUGCUUUAUGCAAAUCAAAUCAAAAUAAUUGCAAACAAAAUUGCCCCUGGGACUCUUGUUAGUUGGAGGCACUCGUUGUUUCGAGCAAGCCAUGGAUUGAUGCUUGUUGGUGGAGGGGGGGUAUAAAAUUUUCCAUUCUGUUUGGGAACCGCCUAUAAUGUGUGUAGCAUGGAAGAUAUCACCAUCUCUUGGUUGUUAUGUUGACAAUGAAAGUAUACCGCUCAAAAUAUUAUUUACCUCUAUUUCAAAAUCGAGCUCUGGCACCUCUACAAAUCCCUGCUUCCCUCUGCGAAGGGCCUAUCUAUUUACUUUUAUGUUGAGUCAUCAUCCUCUUAUUAAAAUGCACCAGUUGGAGAGCACCGUUGUCAUUUGCAUUCAUUACUAUUAUUUUACAUUGAAUAUGACUUGACUGGAUCUCUUUUACCAUGAAUUACAAUGUCUAGUCAGUCCUUGAUCUUUAAAGGUGCUCUACAUUUAUGUUUUGCGGUCUCAGAAAGGGCUAGCGAGAUACCAUCUUGUUAUAUCAUAUCAUGAUUGUUUUGAGAAAGUGUUGUCAUCCGAGAUUUAUUGUUAUUGCUCGCUAGUUGAUUAUGCCAUUGAUAUGAGUAAACAUGAUACAUAAAUGUUAUUGGAAUAUGGUUAGUUCAUAAUCUUUGCUGAAAACUUGAAUGCUGGCUCUACAUAUUUACAACAACAAGAGCAAACAGAGUUUGUAAAAGUUUUUCUUUAUCACUUUCAGUUUAUCAACUGAAUUGCUUGAGGACAAGCAAAGGUUUAAGCUUGAGGGAGUUGAUACGUCUCCGUCGUAUCUACUUUUCCAAACACUUUUGCCCUUGUUUUGGACUCUAACUUGCAUGAUUUGAAUGGAACUAACCCGGACUGACGUUGUUUUCAGCAGAAUUGCCAUGGUGUUAUUUUUGUGCAGAAAUAAAAGUUCUCGGAAUGACCUAAAAAUCAAAGGAGAAUUAUUUUGAAAUAUAUAAAAAAUAUUGGAAGGAAGAUCCACGUCAGGGGGGCCUCCACCUGUCCACGAGGGUGGAGAGCGUGCCCUACCCCCCUGGUGCUACCUCUUGAGCACUGCGUUGGUUUUCCCUUGAAGAGGAAAGGGUGAUGCAGUAAAGUAGUGUAAGUAUUUCCCUCAGUUUUUGAGAACCAAGGUAUCAAUCAAGUAGGAGAUCACGCUCGAGUCCCGCGCACCUACACAAACAAAUAAGAACCUCGCAACCAAUGCAAUAAAGGGGUUGUCAAUCCCUUCACGGUCACUUACGAGAGUGAGAUGUGAUAGAUAGGAUAAGAUAAUAUUUUUGGUAUUUUUAUGAUAAAGAGAAAUAAAGAUGCAAAGUAAAAUAAACAGCAAUAGAAAUAACUAAGUAUCACCUGGGCGCACCCCCCUGCCUCGUGGACCCCCUGACGCUCCACCGACCUCAACCCUGACUCCAUAUAUUCACUUUCGGGGAGAAAAAAACCAGAGAGAAAGAUUCAUCAUGUUUUACGAUAUGGAGCCGCCGCCAAGCCCUAAACUCUCUCGGGAGGGCUGAUCUGGAGUCUGUUCGGGGCUCCGGAGAGGGGAAUCCGUCGCCAUCGUCAUCAUCAACCUUCCUCCAUCACCAAUUUCAUGAUGCUCACCGCCGUGCGUGAGUAAUUCCAUCGUAGGCUUGCUGGACGGUGAUGGGUUGGAUGAGAUUUAUCAUGUAAUCAAGUUAGUUUUGUUAGGGUUUGAUCCCUAGUAUCCACUAUGUUCUGAGAUUGAUGUUGCUAUGACUUUGCUAUGCUUAAUGCUUGUCACUAGGGCCCGAGUGCCAUGAUUUCAGAUCUGAACCUAUUAUGUUUUCAUCAAUAUAUGAGUGUUCUUGAUCCUAUCUUGCAAGUCUAUAGUCACCUACUAUGUGUUAUGAUCCGGCAACCCCGAAGUGACAAUAAUCGGGACCACUCCUGGUGAUGAUCGUAGUUUGAGGAGUUCAUGUAUUCACUAUGUGUUAAUGCUUUGGUCUGGUACUCUAUUAAAAGGAGGCCUUAAUAUCCCUUAGUUUCCGCUAGGACCCUGCUGCCACGGGAGGGUAGGACAAAAGAUGUCAUGCAAGUUCUUUUCCAUAAGCACGUAUGACUAUAUUCGGAAUACAUGCCUACAUUACAUUGAUGAAUUGGAGCUAUUUCUGUGUCACCCUAGAUUAUGACUGUUACAUGAUGAACCGCAUCCGACAUAAUUCUCUAUCACCAAUCCAUUGCCUACGAGCUUUCCAUAUAUUGUUCUUUGCUUAUUUACUUUUCCGUUGCUAUUGCUAUCAUCACUAUAAAACAACAAAAACAUUACUUUUGCUAUCGUUACCUUUUGCUACCGUUACCACUACUAUCAUAUUACUUUGCUACUAAACACUUUGCUGGAGAUAUUAAGUUUCCUGGUGUGGUUGAAUUGACAACUCAGCUGCUAAUACUUGAGAGUAUUCUUUGGCUCCCCUUGUGUCGAAUCAAUAAAUUUGGGUUCAAUACUCUACCCUCGAAAACUGUUGCGAUCCCCUAUACUUGUGGGUUAUCAUUGCUCCUGCAGCGGGUCUUGCACCUAGCGGUGCUUCUAGGACGUAAUUCUUCUGUGUAGCAAUGAGGAUAAUUCUCAAGUUAUGGACCCAGUCCGUGUAGUUGCUACCAUCAUCUUUCAACUUAGCUUUCUCUACGAACGCAUUAAAAUUCAAAGGAACAGUAGCAGGGGCCAUUGAUCUACAAUAACAUAGACAUGCAAAAUACUAUUAGGUGCUAAGUUCAUGAUAAAUUAAAGUUCAAUUAAUCAUAUUACUUAAGAACUCCCACUUAGAUAGACAUCCCUCUAGUCAUCCAAAUGAUCACGUGAUCCAUAUCAACUAAACCAUGUCUGAUCAUCACGUGAGAUGGAGUAGUUUCAAUGGUGAACAUCACUAUGUUGAUCAUAUCUACUAUAUGAUUCACGCUCGACCUUUCGGUCUCAGUGUUCCGAGGCCAUAUCUGCAUAUGCUAGGCUCGUCAAGUUUAACCCGAGUAUUCUGCGUGUGCAAAACUGGCUUGCACCCGUUGUAUGUGAACGUAGAGCUUAUCACACCCGGUUAUCACGUGGUGUCUCGGCACGAUGAACUAUAGCAAUGGUGCAUACUCAGAGAGAACACUUGUACCUUGAAAUUUAGUGAGAGAUCAUCUUAUAAUGCUACCGCCGUACUAAGCAAAAUAAGAUGCAUAAAGGAUAAACAUCACAUGCAAUCAAAAUAAGUGAUAUGAUAUGGCCAUCAUCAUCUUGUGCCUUUGAUCUCCAUCUCCAAAGAACCGUUAUGAUCACCAUCAUCACCGGCUUGACACCUUGAUCUCCAUCGUAGCAUCGUUGUCAUCUCGCCAACUAUUGCUUCUACGACUACCGCUACCGCUUAGUGAUAAAGUAAAGCAAAAACAAGUGUGAUGUCCUCUACUUUGUUGUUGCAAGUUUUACGUGGCUGCUACGGGCUUCUAGCAAGAACCGUUCUUAUCUACGCCUCAAAACCACAACAAUUUUUCGUCAAGUGUGUUGUUUUAACCUUCAACAAGGAUCGGGCGUAGUCAAACUCGAUUCAACUAAAGUUGGAGAAAUAGACACCCACUAGCCACCCGUGUGUGAAGCACCUCGGUAGAACCAGUCUCAUGAACGCGGUCAUGUAAUGUCGGUCUGAGCCACUUCAUCCAACAAUACCGCCAAAUCAAAGUAAGACGUUGCUGGUAAGAAGUAUGACUAUUAUCGUCCACAACUCAUUGUGUUCUACUCAUGCAUAUAACAUCUACGCAUAGACCUGGCCCGGAUGUCACUGUUGGGAAACGUAUUAUUUCAAAAAAAAAUCCUACAAUCACGCAAGAUAUAUCUAGGAGAAGCAUAGCAAUGAGCGGGGAGAGUGUGUCCACGUACCCUCGUAGACCGAAAGCGGAAGCAUUUAGUAACACGGUUGAUGUAGUCGAACGUCUUUGCGAUCCAACCAAUCCAAACACCUAACGUACGGCACCUCCGCAUUCAGCACACGUUCAGCUCGAUGACAUCCCUCGAGCUCUUGAUCUAGUUGAGGCCGAGGGAUAGUUCCGUCAUCGCGAUGGCGUGGCGACGGUGAUGAUGAAGUUACCGGCGCAGGGCUUCGCCUAAGCACUACGACGAUAUGACCGAGGUGUGUAACUGUGGAGGGGGGCACCGCACACGGCUAAGAGAAACUUGUGUCUUUGGGGUGCCCCCUCCCACGUAUAUAAAUGGAGGGAGGAGGCCGGCCCAAGGGGGGGCGCCACAUGUGGGGAGUCCUACUAGGACUCCCUUGUCCUAGUAGGAUUCCCCUCUCCUUUCCUUUUACGGAGGGGGAAAGGGGGGAAGGAGAGGAGGGGAAGAGGGAAAGGGGGGCACGCCCCCUCCCCUUCCUAUUCGGACUCCACUUGGGGGGGACGCGCACGCCUCCCCCUUGUGGGUUGUCCCCUCUUCUCUCCCAUGGCCCAUAAGGCCCAUGAUUUCCCCCAGGGGGUUCCCGUAACCUCCCGGUACUCCGAAAAAAUUCCCGAAUCACUCGGAAUCAUUCCGAUGUUCAAAUGCAACCUUACAAUAUAUGAAUCUUUACCUCUCAACCAUUUUCGUGAUCUCAUCUGGGACUCCGAACAAACUUCAGUCAUCAAAUCACAUAACUCAUAAUACAAAUUGGCAUCGAACGUUAAGUGUGUGGACCCUACGGGUUUGAGAACUAUGUAGACAUGACCGAGACACAUCUCCGGUCAAUAACCAAUAGCGGAACCUAGAUGCUCAUAUUGGCUCCUACAUAUCUACGAAGAUCUUUAUCGGUCAAACCGCAUAACAACAUACGUUGUUCCCUUUGUCAUAUGUAUGUUAUUUGCCCGAGAUUCGCUCGUCGGUAUCCUCAUACCUAGUUCUAUCUCGUUACCGGCAAGUCUCUUUACUUGUUCCAUAAUGCAUCAUCUGGUAACUAACUCAUUAGUCACAUUGCUUGCAAGGCUUAUAGUGAUGUGCAUUACCGAGAGGGCCCAUAUAUACCUCUCUGAUACACGGAGUGACAAAUCCUAAUCUCGAUCUAUGCCAACUCAAGAAACACCAUCGGAGACACCUGUAGAGCAUCUUUAUAAUCACCCAGUUACGUUGUGAUGUUUGAUAGCACACUAAGUGUUCCUCCGGUAUUCGGGAAUUGCAUAAUCUCAUAGUCAUAGGAACAUGUAUAAGUCAUGAAGAAAGCAAUAGCAAUAAAAUUAAACGAUCAUUGUGCUAAGAUAACGGAUGGGUCUUGUCCAUCACAUCAUUCUCUAAUGAUGUGAUCCCGUUCAUCAAAUUACAACACAUGUCUAUGGUUAGGAAACUUAACCAUCUUUGAUUAACGAGCUAGUCUAGUAGAGGCAUACUAGGGACACUCUGUUUGUCUAUGUAUUCACACAUGUACUAAGUUUCCGGUUAAUACAAUUUUAGCAUGAAUAAUAAAGAUUUAUCAUGAUAUAAGGAAAUAUAAAUAACAACUUUAUUAUUGCCUCUAGGGCAUAUUUCCUUCAGGAAGAGCAUUGCGGGUGGGAGGGAGAAGGGGAAUUAAGAGAGUGUAGGUUUCGGUUUGGGCCUCCGCGCGCUAUGUGUACACAUGUGUUGGUGGGUCAAUAGUAGUGGCGCCAGGUUUAUACCCCACACUACUACUAUGGCCUAUCCCGGGGGUACGAUAGAGACCACUUAGUAGUAGCGAGGGAUUUAUACCCCUCGGUACUACUAUCAACUUAGUACUAGUGAGGGAUUUAUACCCCUUGCUACUACUAUCAACUUAGUAGUAGUGAGGGAUUUAUACCCCUCGAUACUACUAUGGCCAGUCCCGGGGGGCACGGUGGAGACCACUUAGUAGUAGUGUGGGGUUUAUACCGCUCGCUACUACUAUCAACUUAGUAGUAGCGUGGGUUCUAUACCCCUCUCUACUAAUAAUUAGCAGCAGUGUGGCCCAUAUACCCCUUGCUACUGUUAAGCAUCUAUCUAUAAAUUAUUUUCUAGUAGUGCAUCAAUGGCGGCGAAAUCAGUCAUUCUGCUUGUUUUCCCUACUAGCUCUCUGACGUCCAGAACAAGUUUACGGUCAUAAGGUGCAAUGCCCUUGCCUUCAUGAGUGACACGAUGACACGGGAACGGGCUUCCAAGCCUAUGGUGUCGCAUCGUGUCGUGGUCUGCUAAACUUAGUGGACGGAUGCUACUCCAAUAUCGGUUGAUCCUAUACUACGGUACCAAGGAAGACACGCAACUACUAUAUAUAUUUCUUCAAGUCAGUCAACACAAGUAAACUCUGGGAGUUCAACUGGUGCAGCUAUGCAAUGCUAAUGGAGACAACACAAUUCAACUUUAGCACUUCACACAUAAGAAAAACCACGUUCAAUGGCACACACCUUAGAGUGUACCUAUGGUGGUUGAAUGGGCUAUAAGAAAUGUGAGUCCAUGUGAAGAUGCCAAACAUAAUAACACGGCUAAUUACACAUGCAGUGGCAGCAGCAACAAGUGCGUGAAUUCAACAAAUGAUCUAGGGUACACAUGCAACGGUGUCCUUGAGUAUGACAACAACCCUUAUCUUCUAGACAAAUGCAUGGUAUGCUACUAAUUUAUUUGCUACAAAUUCCAAUGAAUUGUGUCCUUUGCUUUGUACAUACCCAAUUAUAAUAUUUUAUUAUGCUAAUACAAUGUAGCCUUCAAUUUAAACCAAGGUUUGCAUCCAUUAAUUAUGUUAGGUUCAUAUGACUUCACUACAUAAAUAGGUAGAUAAUGCAUAAGACUGAGAUUGUAGCUAGGGAUGAAAAUCUAAAUACGGCAUGAAUCUAACAAUUAUGAGUAAUGUCUUUGUGACAAGAACUUUCUUUGUCUUUUAUUCCCAUGUUUGAACUAGUAUAGGUCAGGGUUACACAUUAUGGUGCACAUCACUUUAUUUGUCACCGUUACAUUGAACACCCAUUGACUAAACAACGAUAAUCCAUCCGUCUUGUAUUACAGGUCUUCAUUUCAUUGGCCACCGAUGCUUGUAAGACUACUCCCAGAUGGUUGUUGUUGUGGAUAUGGUUGUUGAGGUUGGUGUGGUUGCUGGGGGAAUGGUUGUUGGGGUUGCUGGGAAAUUGUUUGUUCUAGUUGCUGGGAUAAUUGUUGUUGGGGCUGCAAAAAUGGUUGUUGUGGUUGCAGGAUGGAUGGUUGCUGGGGUUGGGGCUGGGGAAAUGAUUGUUGUGAUUGUUGGGGUUGCUGGGAAAAUGGUUGUUGCGGUUGAAGGGGGAAUGGUUGUUGUGGUUAUAGAGGGAAAGGUUGUUGUGGUUGUUGAGGGAAUGGUUGUUGUGGUUGUUGNNNNNNNNNNNNNNNNNNNNNNNNNNNNNNNNNNNNNNNNNNNNNNNNNNNNNNNNNNNNNNNNNNNNNNNNNNNNNNNNNNNNNNNNNNNNNNNNNNNNNNNNNNNNNNNNNNNNNNNNNNNNNNNNNNNNNNNNNNNNNNNNNNNNNNNNNNNNNNNNNNNNNNNNNNNNNNNNNNNNNNNNNNNNNNNNNNNNNNNNNNNNNNNNNNNNNNNNNNNNNNNNNNNNNNNNNNNNNNNNNNNNNNNNNNNNNNNNNNNNNNNNNNNNNNNNNNNNNNNNNNNNNNNNNNNNNNNNNNNNNNNNNNNNNNNNNNNNNNNNNNNNNNNNNNNNNNNNNNNNNNNNNNNNNNNNNGAAUGGUUGGUGGGGAAUUAUUUGUUCUGGUUGCUGGGGAAUUAUUUGUUCUGGUUGCUGGGGGAAUGGUAGUUGGGGUUGGGGAAAUGGUUGUUGGGGUUGCUGGGGGAAUGGCUGUUGUGGUUGCAGAGGGAACGAUUGUUGGGUCUGGGGAAAUGGUUGUUGUGGUUGCCAGGAAAAUGGUUGUUGGGGCUGUGGAAAAGGUUGUUGUGGUUGUUGGGGUUGCUGGGGGAAUGGUUGUUGUGGUUGUAAGGGGGUCGGUUGUUGGGGUUGGGGAUAUAAUUGUUGUGAUUGCUGGAGAAAUUGUUGUUGGGGUGUGGAAAAUGGUUGUUGUGAUGGAUAUGGUUGCUAUGAUGGAUAUGGUUGUUGUGGAUAUGGCUGUUGUGGAAAUGGUUGUUGUUGAUGGGAAAAUGAUUGUUGAGGUGAUUGUAACUCUUUGUUGCUAGGGUUUAGCUGCCUAGCGGCAAUGGCGGUGUUCAUCGCCAUGGCAAGGAGGACAAAGAUGAGGAAGGUCUUCAUGUUGGAUUUGUGGUUACUACUGCUUGCUUGCCUUUGAUGCUUGUGGUCUAGGUGUGUGAAGUUUGGUUGAUGGAAGGUGUCCUUGGUGGUGCAUGUGUAUUUAUAGUUUUCAUGGCAUGGCUUGCUUUCAUCUUUGCACUCGCUCUUUGAAAAAGUGCAUCAAUGCUUAUCCAACUAAUCAUUUGGUUUGUUGUGUUUGGUGCAACUACUUACU
Molecule: long non-coding RNA, 75785 nt
Filed under: Triticum aestivum (bread wheat)
Lineage: Eukaryota; Viridiplantae; Streptophyta; Magnoliopsida; Poales; Poaceae
Description: long non-coding RNA (TAES_LNC024411)
Source: RNAcentral